This 59349-nucleotide long non-coding RNA is filed under the name Musa acuminata (dwarf banana). Its description in RNAcentral is "long non-coding RNA (MACU_LNC002644)". The stretch from base 11604 to 11675 matches the Rfam family "tRNA". Lineage: Eukaryota; Viridiplantae; Streptophyta; Magnoliopsida; Zingiberales; Musaceae. The record is from RNAcentral.
GAGAGAGAGAGAGAAAGGUAGUUCAUACACAAAACCAAAUAUUCCGAGGAAUUGAUCUCUGUGAUUAAGGAUAAGACCAAAUUGCCAACAUAUGCUGCAUAUAAUAUUCUUAUCAGUGCAGAGGACCAUCUAAUAUUCUGACAUUAAUUGAAAGGAAUCACAACCACAAUCUUCUAUUUACACAUUCUUCAUACAAACCAUGUCGUCACCGUCACCAUUUUCUAGCCACAAGGGGAUCCAAAAGAUCUACUUUGAUCGCCUAUGUGAUAUGGAAAGAUCUCUCCUGCUGCUUUAAAUAUUAUUAGUUUCUUAGCUUCUCGGAUUACCACUAACCAUAAUCAGUAAUUUUAUAUCUUUUACUCAACCGAUAAACAUUUACACUUAGCAAGAGUUGAUUUGAUGAUUCGAUGGAGGUUGUGCAACGGGUUUAGUUUUACAUCCACUAAGAUUUAGAAAGAUGUAUAAAGGUUUGUUUAGUGUAUUAUCCUCUAUUUUAGUCUUAGUAUUAUGUAUCAGUAGCUUAGCUCAAUGAAUCGACUUAAUUAUAUCAAAUUAGAUUGUGAUAAUUAGUGUUAGAUUCGACUUAAUAUUGAGACAUAAUAGGGAUUGAGUAGGAAAGGAUUACUUAUGGACCGAGCUAUAUGAUAGGCACAUCAUGAAGUUACAUUAAGAUCUAAUUCUAAACUAUUUUAAGCUUGAUGACACUAACUCAGAUAUUAUAUUAAGAUCUAAUUCUAGACUAUAUUAAGCUUUCAAGAGAGCCCAAGCCAUUAGGUGAGGAAGAUUAUAAAACUUUAAUUUAGUCUUAUAGUUAAGAUUUAUAGUUAAGAUUUAGAACAAUUUAUAAUGGUUUGAUGUAUUUAUGUAACUUUAGUUAAGCAUUUUAGACUAAUUAUUCAAAUUUAAUGAGAUUAAUAGACCAAUUAUCCUAUGAAAGAAAGUUGUAAAAGGUUGAUAAUUUCAAAUCUUUUCUAAUAAAUCAGAUGACAUCGACAGUUGAUAUAUAUAUAUAUAUAUAUAUAUAUAAGAUAUAAUGACUGGUUGUUAUGUGAUGAGAGAGAUAAAUGAGGAACAUGAAGAAAUAAUGGAGACAUUGGUACCAUCUCGAUAAUGGAAGCGUGUCCCUAUUAUGAAACGACGACAGCCAUUAACAGACACCAAAGGAGAAUUAUUGUGGUUUUGGCAGAGUGCGUCUAAAGCUGAUUGAUAGAGAAUUGUGUGAAUGAGACCCACCCCAUGUAAUAAUGGUAGCUGUCCCAAUAAUAGCAUCAAAAGCUGAUCGGAUGAUGAUCAUACUUGGUAGGUAAUCCAGUGAGCCGAGCCAAAUGGGAAGAAGCAAUGCAUCAAAUGCAAAUCUCAAAAUUUACCUAUGAAGAAUAAAUACUAUCUUCAAGGGAAAUAAAAAUAAAAGGAAAAUAGGACAAUGUCAUGAUAGAAGAAGGUCCAUUUCCUAAUUAUAAUUAUAAUUAUAAUUAUUAUUAUUAUUAUUAUUAUUUUUAUAAAAAAAAAGUUAAAUAAGACUAACUGAUUAAUCAUCCACCUGAUCAAAUCAUCAAUGGUUGAACCGAUAGAUCAUUUGUUCAGCCAAGAAGCUAGCUUUGAAAGGUAAAAAUACAAAAGCUAUAACGUGGGGGGAGGCACUCAGGCCCCACUGCUCGCAGCCUAUCCCCGUGAGAAAAUUCAAAGGUUUAUUUUGAGAUCAUACAACAACAUCUGACAUUUAGGAUUAUCAAGGAAAUAAAUGUGAACCAAAAGAAGUGGAAUAAAUAGAACCAUUUAGGAUUUGCUACAAGAUCAGCAUAUUCACAGUAUCAUAAUUAUACAGAGGAUCUUUUUUAUGAGUUGGAGAUAAAACUCUCUGUAACAGCUUCCGUAACAUCGCCGCGGCACAGAGGGCAUACACUGUAAGCACCAGUAGCAGAGAAAGAGAAAAUCAAGUUCGAGGAGCCAUGUUAAAACACUUUUUAUAUAUAUAUAUAUAAAGAACAGAGGGCUACAGAGAAUAUUAAGUAAAAUACCCAUGAAUUUCUUUGAGCCAUUUAUCGACACAGGCCAUGUGAUAUUCAUGGUGGCAGGGAAGUAUUCGCACGGCGUCUCCAUCCUCGUAAUCAGCCAGGCAGAUGUAACAUCUGUAAAACAACAGUAUGUACAGAAUCAGGGAGUGAGCAUAUAAGUGUGAAAGAAACUACAUAGAAACCCCUUUCGCAUUUCAUCAGCAGCAUGUUUCAGUGCAUAAUUAGUUGAAGUGAGAAAUCUGUUCGAUGACAAAUUGAAAAUUAGAGGAUAGAUCAACCAGCCAUGUAAAAAUUGCAGAUGAACAUCCUAAACAUGUUUGACAUUGUGAAUUAGCAAUCUUUUGUAACAGCUCAAAGUUUCUCUCGUACUAAAUAGCUACAGUGAAAGAGAGAUCACCUAUUGCUCUUGCCUGCAUGGCAGUCGAACAUACAUAGCAAUCUCAAAUUUAAUAAACAUGUAGUGAUCAAAGGUAAAUACCAACAUUAUAUUCAUGUGAUAGAUAAAAUUUCAUAAUUCCCCACAAGAAGCAAGAGACAGGAUCAUCUGUGUUGACGGAAUGCAAGCCCAAAUAUAUUGUGGAUCUGAUCGUCGAUAGAUCUUGGAGAUACUGGAACAUGUUUUGAGAACUAGAAUGAAAACUAUAAUAUUAGUCCUAAUUUAGUUUCACAGACUGCAUCUCGUGCAUAAUCAGCACAGGGAUCUGAAAAUAGUAGCAUAGAGCAUCGUACACAUUUAAUGCUAAAUAUGGUAGUGUAAUGGUUCUAAUUUUCCAGGGACAACAAUAUGAACAGAUGAAAAUGCUUACUGUUCCACAUCAUUUUUGCUCAAAGCAGUGUCGAGUUUUUUGUGAAUCUUUGAUGGCAAGGAGUUGACAACUGAUUCCAGUGCUGGGACUGAGACCACAGAAAGUGACAGUGAUCCAGGCUGGUGAUGAAUUUCAUCCAAAACCUGCAGAGUAAUCAUGUCAAUGUAAGGUAUAAAGCCGAUAAAAGAGCAUGAACUGUAAUACUCAGCAAUAAGUUUCUCCAUUGCAUUUAGAUAUUUCUUGGCAUCAUCACCUACAUACUAUAAAGAACUUUAGCACCAGUGAUAAGCUUAGUUUCAUAAGCCGUUCAGUUUCUUCAUCCAUAAAUAUUCUUCAGAGGGCAAUGAAGAUUCAGCAGUACUAAACAAACAAUACAAAAAUAAAUGAAAUCAGAUAUAGUAGUCUAAACUCAAUAAACAUUUCAAGCAAGAAGGCAGCAAGUAAAACUAGGGGCACAUAGUCCGUUCAUCAUACUACAUCGAUUAGGAUGAACAUGUUACAGAAGUAGUACCACGUGCACCAUAACAAUAGAUAAAACUGUCAAUUGCAGGCAGAUUCUUUUUUCUAUAAUAGAAAAGAAGAAAGGGGAUGACUCUGCCCCCUCUCCAAUUUUCUAAAAAUAGGAGACAUACAAACGUCUAAUUCACUUGAAGUGCGAACCUCAAUCUUGAACUACAUCUGCAGUGAUUUCCUUCAAAAAUAAAUAUAGGCAUCUUUGACAUUAAAAAAUAACUUUUAAUAUUGUCCGUCAUGCUUUUUUUUUUUUUUUUUUGAACUGGAGAUGGAAAAUAUCAGCUCCAUUUUAAAUACAAAAGCUUAUAUAGUCAAAAUUUGGUAACAUCUCUCAACCAUGGCUAAAAUCCAAAUUAAUGUUGAAGCCUAUAUCGGAGUACAAGCUUGAAAGUGAAGUUAAUGGAAUAAAUACAUGAGUGAUCAUGAGCAUUCAAACUUCAAGAAGUUUAGAGAAUGUGCUUAACAAAAAGCUAACCACUUGAAUAUAUAGGAGGAGAGCUGAAACAAAAAUACCCACCUCAAAUAAAGCUUCAGCUAACACAAAAAUUCGUGCAAUACUGGCUCGGGUGCUCGACACUUCAGUCAUUAACAAUGUGCAAGAGCAUGUGCCAUCUUGGUGGAGACCUGAUGGACAGGAAGAUGCUUGUCCAUCAUUAUUAUUAGAUCCAGAAUGAAGACGCUCCCUUAUCUGCACUGAGGAAAUUUUUAAGUCCAAAUAACUUAAGAUAUGUACUUGAUUGAAAACUUCAGAUGCAUGCAUUAAUGAUAAGGAAAGAGUUGAAGCUUUGUACCUAGAACCAUAGUAUCUAAAAUUAUUGCCAAACAAAUAAAAAGGCCAAACAAAUAAAAAGGCAAAUAUUGAACAACUACAAGAAAAGAUAUUCUGCAAAUAAAAGAAACAACAUCAACAAAAGUAUUAAAUCACAUCAUUAAUUCCAUAAUGUCAUCAAAGUUGGUGACCCAUGAAGUCAUUGAAAAAAGAACCUUGAUAAUGUCGAGAAGCAUGCUGUUAAGUGUAAAGGAUAGAAACUUACCUUAAGCAAAGGAAACUAACAUGUGACAACUUGAAAUAGAACUUAAUAAAAGAUCACCUCAGAUCUCGUAUGCCAACUGACUCCAUUUAGUCCAUGGUGUCUCUGCCGUAAGUAUAAUGAAUCAUCUUCAACCCCAUCUCUAAAAGCAUGACCAUCAAUGUCUAGUAGCCACCUGUCCUGAUAUCCUAGACCAUUAUUCUCUGAAAUUGAAGAUAGUGUUGUCGAGUCAACAGUCAUGGAACUGUGUCUAGAAAAGGCAUCCCAGAAAUGUCUUCUAGUAUUCCUCCGUGACUCGCUACUAAUUUCCUCCCCAGAGCCACUGGGAACAUCAGAAGAGACACUGACCAAAUCAACAUGAAGUAGACUUCCAUUUCUCUGCUCACCUGAUCCAGUUGAUGUUUGGGCAUCUGAACCAGAAGAGGUUGCACCUAGAUGAUCUUCACUUGAAAAAUGCAAAGUUGAGGAUAACCUUGGAAUAACAGAAACGUAAUCCGUAUAGGUACCGUGGUUUCCCACAACAUCAUCUGAGGGGUUAACAAUCUCAUUUGCAUGUAAAUCUCCAAGCUCAGGUUGAUGUAUGCUACGUGAGAAACUUGGCGAGCUAUGGGAACUAUCAUUUGCACAAUUAGCAACCUCUGAUACCGUUGCUAAAGCGGCAUCAACAUUAUCAACUGGUUUCCUUGAGGUACUUGGUAGACCAGAAGUCCUCUCAGGUUGGAACAUCUCCAGGCAAGAGGUUUCCGAGCCAUCCCAAUUGAUGCCAUUAUUGCUUUGAUUAUUUCUCAUGUUUUCAUUGGUGGAGCUAGAAGGCCUAUGGUCUUGUGAAAAGUUUAAUGAAGACUCCUUGACUGAGAUCUGGAUAUUAGAAUUUAAUACAGAACCAUCCAGUCUUGCUUGACUGACUGAUUUCUCCGUUGGCAUAUCUUCAAUCUGCUAAGAAGAAUGCCAUCAAGAAAACCUUUAUAGCCUGUUAACAUCAACCUAUUUAAAGCAUAGGCUAGAGAUGUAGAAAACAUACGAGUAAUGCCCUUAUGAAUGGAUAUAAGUUUUGAAUAACCACAAAAAGCAAAACAAUAGAGACACGAAAAGAUAUUACAACAGACACAAAAAUGCACCAACGGCAUUCAUUGUCAAAUAUACUGGAUAGGAAAUGUAUGCUCAAAUGAUGUCAAUACUCUUAAAAGUAACAGUAAGGUUUUCUGGAAUGAGAAAUAAUUUCUUUUCUUAUGGCUUCCACCACAUUUUGGUGAAAGUGCAGAACUUCUUUUACUAAAAAAACAAUCCAAUUUGUUGUUUGGCAAGUUAAAGAUAUCAUAAUUUUGACUUUGAAUGGAAACUCUCAUGUGAUUCAAUGUCAUGUUUAGGAGUCAAGGAACCAAGAAUCUUGUCUUCAGAUAGAUCUUCUAGAAGUUAAAAGACUGUUGUCUCUCAGAAAAUUAAAAAAAAAAGGGUGUAACCAGUGCACGAGGCUCCCGCCAAUGUGGGGCCUCAGAAAAUCAACAAACUUAAAUUUAACUAAAAAUGUUUACCUCAUCCAAAUUUACCACUUACAUAAUUACCACCCUGACCAUUUGGAAUCACAAAUUUUGUACCUUGGAGGAUAACAUAAUAUGCCUCCUUGGUCCAAUAUAGAGAAUUACACGAGCAGGGUGCUUCUUUCUAUAAGAAAAUGCCCAACCUCAAAAGUCUUGUUAUUAUCUCUAAGCAGAAGCACAAAGCAUUUUUGAGCACAUAUCAACUUGUCUAUCCAAUAUUCGAAGGGUGCUCAUUCUCAUCAUGAGUCACCAUGUUUGUGUAACCACCUUAGGUCACCAUCCCAUCCAUCCUCUUAGAAGUCAUUAACCAUGAGGAUUUCCAGAUUACUAGAAUAUGCUGACUCAGCAAACCGAGCAAAAAAAGAUUAGAGCUUAAUAAGAGACAAGGACUGCAGACCAAUAAGACUCCUUGAAAGAUAUCACAACACCAAUCAUUUCAGGCCUCAAUGAAUCAGAGAUCCACUUUCCCGGAGAUAAUCCUAAUCUUUCAUAUCUAAAAAACUUGCAUUAUUACACUAUCAACAUCGUAUCAUUAUGCUAAUCGAACGAGACAAAAAAGCAUAAAUAAAUAAACACAUAAAUACAUACAUACAUACAUACAUACAUACAUAUAAUAACCAUCGUGGAAAAAAAAACGACAACAAAACGAAUACCUAAGCAACCAUCUCCCCAACCAAGAAACCAAGAAAUGCAGUACGGCUAAUAGCUAUCGAGACAAGCAAUCAACCCCAAAGAACUAAAUCGUGAUCGUUGAAUUAGGACCUGAGAGGAGCCGGAGGAGGAGGUGGAGGCGGCAGAGACGGCCGCGGCUCCGCCGCAGAGGAAGGCGGCGAGCCCGAGCCUCGGCCGGCGUCGCGGCCGGUGGCGCGGCAACCGCGGGGCCAUGCGACUGCUUCCUGAACCCAUCGCUUGAUUCAGAGCGAAAGGAGGAGGCCGAGGAGAAGCGGAGGGAAGGAAGAAGAAGGCCAGCUGUGGACGCGGCCUUCAAAUAGUUUCGCCCCCUUCUUAUUGUCCACAAACAAAAAAGAGAGAAAUGGAAAUAAAUAAUAAUAACAACAACAUAUAUUUGUUCAAAAAAAAAAGGAGCUAAUUUGGGGAUUAAAUUACCCUCCAAUAAGAGGUGACAUCACCCCUGAUCCUUUUCGAGGAUAAUUCAACCCAUGCACGUUUAUACAAUAAUGAUUUGAACUCUCAUAAUUGCUAUAUUAUAUUUUAUUAUAUUUAAGUUUAAUUUAGUACAUUUAAGUUUAAUAUAGUCAUUAUAAAUUUUUUUUCCUAAAAUAAUGUAAUUUGUGUUUUUGCCCAAAAAUAUAUUCAAAGAACUUCCUUAUGGCUAUUAAUCACCUUAUAAAAAUUAAGAAAAUUAAAUUUGAUUUAGUCAAGUUUAGAUCAAUUUUUAUGAAUAAAAACUUAAUUCACAAUUUAAAUUUACUCAAUUUUCUCGAAAUGAGACAAGGGAAAAAAGGUGGCAAUAAAUUCAAACGGGAUAUAAUUUCAGAAGAUUAAAAAAAGUAGAGGCUGAUAAUUAGUCCAUACAAAAAAAAAGAAAAUCAUACUUAUAUACAAAUAUAUUAAACAUAUAGAAUAUGAUAUCUUUUCAUGAUAAUUAUGAUGAAAAUAGGAAAAGAAAAUGAUGAUAAUAAAUAAUGUAAGAUGAUAAAAGAAUAAUUGGGAUGAAUUUUAAAAAAAUUAUAUUUGAGAUUUUUUUUACAACAUCUCAACUUUUAAAAAUUCUCACCAAACAUUUUCUUACAGAGUAAAAAUAUAAUUUUACCCCUAACUCUCAUCGUAUCUACCUCCACCUCUAUCCUUGCGCAUCCUUGUUUUGUUCUCACACGAAAAAGAAGGGGACUGAGAGGUAGAGGUGAUGAGAACACUUGUCUUCUUCUCUGUAAUCCUCGUACAAGGAAUGAGGUAUGAUCAAGAAAAUCAAUAAUUUUUUUAAAAAAUAUAUCUAAAAAUAAACUAGAACAAUAAUUAUAAUAAAAAAAUUUAACUAUGGUAAAUAGUUUGUUGCCACCUGUGUAAACAAUGAUAAUCUCCUCAUAUCCUAAUCUUAAUUUACGCAUAAAAUUCUUUCUCUCAAUCAUUUAGCCUCUCCAAGUCACACAUCUCACCUAUUAUGUAGUCAUAAAUUUGAGUUAAUAUGACUCCUGAUUUAACAUCUACAAACAUGGAGUUGAUCGGAAAGAUUCAAGGCAAAGUAAAAGCCACCAGAGCUGUGACUGCUAGGUUUGACCUUCAGAUACCAACCCAGUACAAAAGCUCAUCGGCAGAGCUAUGACUCUGGGGAGAAGAAGAUGCAUCCUCCCCAGCCUUCACCACACGGCGGUCCUCCCCCCACUGGGGGUCCUCCACCUCCGGAGCCAGGCGGGCCUCCGCCUCAUCCACCACACGCACCGCCGCCGCCGCCCGGCCCUCCGGCUCCUCCUCGUGGUCCACCGCACCCUUGAACAGUCACCUACAUCACGUGAUGCCACGUCGAUGCACGUAGUCUGCCAUGCAUGAAUGGAGUAGGUUGAUAUAUACAUAAAUAAGUGCACUGCGGACUUGCUUAUGAAAUAAAUAUAUUGUAUAUGUUUAUUAUGUAAUUAGUGUCUUCAUUACAAUCUUGGUUUUAUAUGAUGGAAUGAGUUGAUGUGAUUUAAGAUGUCUUGGAUGAAUUAAAAUGUUUGUGUCUAUAAAAAACCUACACAGAAUAAUUUUUGAAGGAAUAAUCUUUUCUUUUUAUCAAAUAAUAAUUAAAUAUUAAUCACAAUUAGAAGAGAUUAAUCUGAGUUUUCUUUGUCGGGAUUAAUAUUAAUCGAGGAAUAUUCGUGGAAGUAUUUGAAUUUUGAACGAGUUCGGUUCGGCACUUCAGACCGCGAGGGUUACGGCCGCUCUCCUAGCUGAGAUGCUCCCCUUCGUCCGUCGUCAUGGUCUUCCCGGAUUCUUCCAUUGCCGCUGCCUCGUAGACCUUCUCUUCUCCUCCUACUGCUCCCAUCCCCCAACCCUCAUCCCUUGGUCGAGUACCUCGUGAACUGUGCUCUGCCGCCGAGGCAUCCAAGGCCAACGAGGCGGUUGCGCGCCUCACAUCCACGGAGAAGUUUGACGUCGUCCUUGGUUUCCUGACAUCCCAUGGCUUCGAUGACUCUUACCUCAGAAAGAUUGUAUCUUUUCACCCCCAAAUCCUCUGCUGCGACGUGAAGAAGAAUCUGGCCCAAAGUUCCGGUCCUCAGCGAUAUGGGCUCUUCGGACUCCGAACUUAUCCAGAUCGUCAUGACUCACCCCUGCCGCAUGGUCAAGCUAAGCAUCGGUUCACUCCUUUCCAUAUUGGAGAUGUGGGGAAAACUCAUUGGAUGAAGGAAGCUCCUCCUCAAGCAAAUGAAGACGAAAGCAUUGUUUCUGAGCUGCGGCAUCGAGAAGAUGUUACUUCCUAAUCCGUCGUUCACAAGGGAGGAGUGCGGCAUCACCGACGAUAGGACAUCGCUCAUUGUGAAAAGGCGCCCACUUUUCGUCCUCCAACCUCGGGAAUCACCCCGGAGUGCCCCGACAGUCUAGGAUGUUCCUGUGGACCCUUGUCGUUCUCCACAAAAAAGAAAUCGGAGGCUGUAAUCAGGCUCAUGACAAGCGUCGGAUAGUCGGAGUCGGAGUUCUCGUAUGCAUUCAGAAGGGUGCCGACCAUGUGGUGUUUAUCCAAAAACGAGUUGCAGAGAAAGAUGGAAUUUUUGGUCAAGAAAGUUGAAUAUACAGCAUCCCGCAUUGCCCGCCAUCCAAUACUGCUAUUUAGUUUGAAGAACAGGAUGAUACCUCGGUAUCGUGUGAUGGAAAAUUGCAAGUCUAAAGGAUUUCAUAGGGGGGCACUGCAAGCACUAUACCAUCUUUAGUUUAUUGGAAAAUGUAUUUAUGCAGAAGAUUGUUCUCAUCGACAAAGAAAAAGGACCUGAGCUGCUUGACAUCUAUGUGAGUACCUGAGAUGAUCCCACCACAUUGGUAUUCUGAAGAUAUAAUGGAUGGGGUUCAUUUGAAGUCCUUUUCAGGUAUGAGAUAUUUCUUAUCUUUAACAGCUAGAUAAGCAGUGAUUCUGAACAUUCUAAUUGGUUGCUCCGAAGUUUAUCGCUUAUAUGUAGACAUAUAAGUAUACAUAUAAGUAGAAGAGAGAUUGCUUCCCUAAUCCAAUCCAUGCUCCUUAUUAGGGGGUCUGAUCAACUGUUUGUGAUGUUAAUUAAUUGAUCAUCUUUCUUGCAUGAACGUUUUUUAGACCAUUGAUUUGUUAUCAUUAUGAUAAAUGCUAAAGAAUUGUCCAAAUCAUAUGAAUUUUGAUAUCUACAUAUUUGGAUAUAAUAAUCAUGCACACCAGAGUGGAUCUUGGGUUAGAGUAUAAAUGAUUGAUUCUGAAAUGAUAGGAAGUUGAAUGACCUUUGAGUGAUAAAAUUAUAUUUGACUAAUCUGAAUUAUUAAAGCCACACUUCUCAGUUUCUGAAAUACACUGUCAUCGAACUCGAUCAUACUCACUAACAUGAAGAAGCAAAUAAUUCAAAUCAAAGCUAACCAUGAAAAGCGUCAAAUCGAUAUGUAAAAUAUUUAUUUUUGUUGUUGUUGUUAACUUUAGCUCUUAUUGUCGUCCUAGUUUCUUAGACUAUUUGCAUCACUAGUAUUGAAGUCAUGGUAUUUGUGCAUUACUUUAGAAAGUUAAUUCUAUGAGAAUUACAAAUCACAAGGCUAACCUUUUUAGCACUGAAGUGACAAUUAUCAUUGUGCUCAGUAAUUGACAUGAAAUUAUCUUUAAUAUCACUGUUCAGAUAAGUAUUCCCUAAUUAUCUUAUCAAUGUAUGACUUGUCAUGUGGAAUUUGGAUCCAAUUCUAAUGGUGGCACAAUAGGAACUCAUUCUUGCAACUGAAGUUCCUUGUUUUGUGCAUGAGUAGAAUUUCCAGGGAAAUUUUCCUUUGGUUUCAAACUCAGAGGCUUUGUUUUAUAAUUUUUUGAACCCCCUAAGGACUAGAUUAUUAAAUUUGCUUUCUAAGCUUAAUUACAUGAAGUUCUUCCUCUUGUCCAGGGUUAUGAAAUCGCUGCAGUCUUACAUCAAUCAAUUGUUGCUACAACAAUGCUGAAAGAAGCUAAGCGAUGCGAGUUGCAACGACACUUAGAGAGAGGAAAGAUUUGUACAUUCUUCAAUUGUUGCCCCAGAUUUUGCACAAAGAUAAUUUCAUCCUCAUCCAAUUACUAGGUGUGGAGAUGGCCGGACUUGUUCAAUUUGUAAUAGGUACUUCCGAAGCUAAAGGCCGAGUAUAUGUCGUGCUGUCUGCAAAUUCAUCAGGUAUACUAUGAGACUGUGAUGUCCAACUUGACAACAACUGUUUGCUGUCAUGCUUUUGUAGGAUUGUAUGAAUGAUUUUAUUCUGUGAGCUUCUUUUUGGAUUGGAAAAACCUGUCUGAGAUGGAUGCAUAGUCUUUCUCACCAGCAGUACGCCAGUGGUCAUAUAUUGUUUCACCAAAAACACGAACGAGCAUUUGCUGUUCUACUUUGGGUUUUCAUCGACAUCAUCUGAUAGCAAUCCUUGCACAAAACAUGUGAUGAUAGGUUGUUCUACGACACAUGGACGCUCAAUGUUGUGGUCAUCGCCGGUCGUGUUUGAUUUCAACACAAAUUUAUUUAACCUAACUAUACUGUUAUUCAGAAAUAAUAUAUUAAUAUUUUAUGUGGGCAACCUAACAUUAAGGGAUCCGUGGCGCAAUGGUAGCGCGUCUGACUCCAGAUCAGAAGGUUGCGUGUUCGAUUCACGUCGGGUUCAAAUCUCAACAAAAGUCAAUUGAUUUCUCCUUUUUACCAGGACAAUUUGUUUUCAACGUUCAAUCUUUUGGUUUGAUAAAUUUUCUGUUGGCAUGUAAUAUCACUGGAUCCGUGGCGCAAUGGUAGCGCGUCUGACUCCAGAUCAGAAGGUUGCGUGUUCGAUUCACGUCGGGUUCAAAUCCUAACAAUUGUCAAUUGAUUUUUCCCUUUUUCCAGGACAAUUUGUUUUUAACGUUCGAUCAUCGAUUCUAAAAGCGGAAAAGGUUGGAUGAGGUGCUCUUUUGAUUUCAUGAUUGGUAUGUUUGCAUUUAAUAUCACUGGAUCCGUGGCGCAAUGGUAGCGCGUCUGACUCCAGAUCAGAAGGUUGCGUGUUCGAUUCACGUCGGGUUCAAAAAUUAAUCUUUUUUCCUUUUUUCCUCGACAAUUUGUUUUUAGCGUUCGAUCAUCGAGUAAAGGCUCAAUCUUCGUGGCGGAUUGAAUUCAUGAAGAAGACAUAUAAAUGUGUCGUGGAAAAGGUCGGAUGAGGCGCUGUUUUGGUUGUUUGUUUUUAACCUUUCUAUAGUUUCCUUUCUGCUUCGUUCGCGAUGUCAUAGUGAUGCCAUUACUUAUCUAUAGCGUCAAAGACUUUGGUAUUUGGUCAAAUAUGCUAUUGUGUUUUGCUUUCAGAAUUAUGUGUUGCUAUCAGUGGUUAUGCUUUUAUUUUGGUUGUUGGAUUUGGGAUUUGCUUAGUAUAUUUAUGAAGAAGAGGAACACGACGGGUUCGUGUUGGAAUAUCAAUGUUGUUUCUUCUUGGAAUUUGGUUGGUUUCUUGUAGAUUGUUGCUAAAAGAUUCGAGUUUGAUGUUUCUUUGUUUCUGUCGCGCCUUAGUCGGGGCAGAGAGUGAAUCCUUAGGAGGAUGAAAAUAUGUUUGUUCAUCGUUGCUGAAGAUUCGAUUAUGGUGUUCUUUGAUUUGAUCUGCCUGUUGGAAUUAGUUAUGUAAUCAAGGUUCUGCUCUACUCGUCCUUUCUGAACCCUAUUCCUGCUUUUUCUUUCCUAAUGCCUCAAUGAUGUGGUCUAAUUACUUAAUCGAAAUUAGGGUUCUUGGCAUUCGGUGCAAUGUUCUAAUGUCUAGUUUUGGAAGCUUUGUGAUGCCAGUUUUAGGGUUUCCGAAGAAUAUGUGAAGUGUUUAUCUACGUUGGUUUAAUGCAAAAGGUGCGUUGGAAUUUAACAUUGGUUGCAUGCUUGAAUCAGAGUUUUUGUCCUUUAAUGUGAGCGACAAAGACUCAGGUUUUUCCUUGCUUUUCGUUUUCUUCCCCCCUUUCCUUUGCUUGUUGGUGUUAGACGGAUAAUCAAAAUUUUGCUUGAGUUGUACUUUUGAUGUUUUGUUUUGCUUUAUUAGUUGUAUGAUUAAAGUGCUGCUCUACUUGUCCUUUCUGUAGUCCAUUUCUGCUUGUUCUUUCCUGAUGCAACCAUGUGGUCUAAUUCCUGCAUCAAAAUUAGGGUUCUUGGCAUUCGGUGCGAUGUUCAAGUGUCUAGUUUUGUAAGGUUUGUGAUGCCAAAUUUUACUUGUCAUGUGAGAAUGAAGAAUUUCCAAAGUGUCGUCUACAUUUGAUUAAUGCAAAAGGUGCAUUGGAUUUCACUCUUAGUUUGCAUGCUUGAAUCAGAGUUCUGUCCUCAAGUUGACUGGCAAAGAUUUAGGUUGUUUUUGCUUGUUGGCAUUAGUUGUUUAAUCAAAGUUCUCUGAGCUGUACUUACAAUGUUUUUUGGUGUCUCCCGAUGAUGGUGUCUUGUUCAUUAUAAUGUCAAAUUAAGACUUUGGUUUUUUUUGUGAGAUAUGCUAAUUUAUUACCAUAUGGACAUAUACAAUGCUACUUUUUGAUGCUUCUAAAGCUUGUUUCAUCUUAGCUCAGCAUCUUAGAUAAAAAGAUUCCGGUAUGUCUUAACUUGAUGGUUGGGAAGGUGACACUAAAAAUAUGAUAGGGAAGGUGACACUAAAAACAGGAAUAAUCUUUGUAUAUGAACAAAUGCUAGAAGACCAUGAUAUGCAGCGGAAUUAAAUGGAACCGCAAUCAAAUAGAACACCAAGAUAUACAUGGAAAACCCUUUUAAUAUGAAAAGUAAAAACCGCGGGGCAAACUAGAGAUAAUCCACUAUGAGAAUAAUGAAUAUACAAAUCUCAAUCUCUUGCCCUAAACCCUAGCAAUAAUCACAAGAGAAUAACUGGGAUACAAUGAUCAUGUCACUGUCCACGAUAUCCAAAACCUCCCCAAGUAAUCACAGCAAGAGUCUACUAUAGAUUUGAUCUAACCUGAGAUGAGAACACUGCUAGAUGAUUGAGAACAGUCUCUCUGCGUUGUCCUUGUCUUCUUCCCUUUCUUUCUCUUUCUUUUCUAUCUUGUUUUCCUCCUUUUCUUUGGAAUCCCGUGGCUAUAUCCUUCUCCCACGUUGCUGCCCUAUUUAUGCCUUUUUCUGUCUCCAAAACGCAGUCACCACACCCCCCCUAAUGUUAAUUAGGGUUAGGUUAAGAGGGGGUGAGCUAUGGGCUGCCCAAGCCCACUAUGGGCUGAAUUUGUGGGCUGCCAGCCUAACAAUCUCCCCCUUCAGACCAUAAGGGAGGCUGUCCCAUGACUCCUCAAUGUGAAGUCAUGCCGACCAGCUGUCGGCAUAUCUCCUGUCUUUCUUUUGGUAAAGUUUUUAUCAAUAUGUUUGCUUCGUUGUCAUCUGUGUGAAUUUUCUGAAGCUGCAACUGCUUCUCUUCAAAUACAUUUCGAAUCCAGUAGCAUAUGACAUCUAUAUGCUUUGACUUGGAAUGAAACAUUAGGUUCUUAUACAAAUGGAUGACACUCUGGCUGUCACAAUGCACCACAUAAUUUUCAUAUUUCAGCCUUAAUUCUUGUAAGAAUUCUUUCAUUCAUAACAUUUCUUUGCAUACCUCUGUAGCAGCAAUAUAUUCUACUUCUGUGGUGGAGAGAGCAAUACGCCUUUGCAACUUGGAUUGCCAUGACACAGCUCCCCCUGCAAAAGUAAGUACAUAACCUGAAGUAGACUUUCUCGUAUCUAUAUCUCUUGCUAUAUUUGCAUCUGUGUAACCUGUCAACACAUGUGGUCCACCUCCAAAGCUUAAACAAACCUUAGAGCUCCCUCUGAGGUAUCUAAAAAUCCACUUCACUACUACCCAGUGCUCUUUGCCUGGAUUUGCAAGAAAUCUGCUAGUAACACCAACUGCAUAUGCGAUAUCUGGCCUCGUACAUACCAUUGUAUACAUUAAACUUCCAACUGCUGAAGCAUAAGGAACCUUUUGCAUUUUCUCCUUUUCCUCAUCACUUGAUGGACUCUGUUCUGAGCACAACUUGAAGUGACCUGCAAGAGGAGAACCAACUGGUUUUGCAUUGCUCAUACUGAAUCUUUACAAUAUCUUCUCGAUGUAUUUCUCAUGUGACAACCAAAUCUUCUUAUUUUUUCUGUCAUGGGAAAUCUGCAUAUCUAGUAUUUGCUUUGCUGGCCCCAUGUCCUUCAUUGCAAAAGACUCACUCAGUUCCUUUUUCAAUCUGUCAAUUUUAGACAUAUCUUUUCCAAGAAUAAGCAUGUCAUCAACAUAAAGUAAGAGAAUAAUAAAAUCCUCACCAAACAAUUUGAUAUACACACAAUGAUCUGAAGUUGUUCUUUUGUAUCCAUUUUCUAUCAUAAAUGAAUCAAACUUUCUGUACCACUAUCUUGGAGCUUGCUUUAGCCCAUACAAGCUCUUCUUCAAUUUGCAGACAAAGUUCUCUUUACCUUUAACUUUGAAGCCUUCUAGUUGCUCCAUAUAAAUUUCCUCCUCCAAAUCCCCAUGAAGGAAAGCUGUCUUCACAUCUAAUUGCUCAACCUCCAAGCCCUGGCUAGCAGCAAUACCUAGAGCAACACGAAUAGAAGACAUUUUAACAAUAGGAGAAAAAAUCUCUUCAAAGUCAAUACCUUUCUUUUGACCAAAGCAUUUCACAAUCAAUCUAGCUUUGUACUUUAGUUGAGAACAAUAUUCUUGAGUCUUCAACCUGAAAACCCACUUGUUCUUCAAGGACUUCAUUUCAUUUGGUAGUAGCAUCAAAUCAUAAGUGUGGUUAUUCUAAAGAGCAUCAAUCUCUUCCUGCAUAGCAACUAACCAUUUCUCUUUCUGCUCACUUUCAACUGUUUCCUGGUAACUCUCUGGUUUACCUGCAUCAGUAAGCAUCACAUACUCAUCUGUAGAGUAUCUUUUGGAAGGUUGACAUUGUCUAGAAGAUCUUCACAACGGAGGUUCUGCGGGAAGUUGCUCUCUAACUUCUUCUUGCUCGACAUGUCCUGCAGGUAGAUCAACAUCAGACUCUACACUAUCUUCCUGCACAUCUCCCCCAUCACCCUGAUAUAUUGGAGGAGUAAUUGGGUCACAAUCUGCUAAUCCUUCUGUAGAAGUAUUGGCUGGUGCCUUCUUCUUCAAAUCUUCAAAAGUUUGAUCCUCAAAGAAGACUACAUCUCUACUUCUAAACACCUUCUGCUUUUCUGGAUCCCAAAGUCUGUAACCAAAAUGAUCAUGUGAGUAGCCAAGAAAAAUAUAUUCUUUAGACUUACCAUCUAGCUUGGACCUCUCAUUAUCUGGAAUAUGUGCAAAUGCACAAUAACCAAACACUCUCAAAUGCUUGUAGGAAACAUCUUUCUCUAACCAUACAUGCUCUACAACAUAACAUCACCAUCUAGGGUUGUACAUUGUCACGACCUUAGCUAGAAUUGCCUAAGGUGUGAGGCACGCUUGCGGCCAAAGACGCGAAUUUAGCCUGCGUUGCCUAAGUCACGAGUCACCCUUGCGACAAAGACGCGAACUUAGCUUGCGUUGCCUAAGUCACGCUCCGCCCUUGGGAUAUUGCUCCGUAAGGAUCAGCCCACUUGUAACCUCUCACAGGUCCCGAAGGACCUGUAAAAAGAUAAAGUUGAUUAGUUCGAAAGAACGAGCGACGGACAAGUCCCGACGUCUCGCGAAAAGGGGAAGCUUUACAAGCAAUUCAGCGAGCACCUUGCGUGCACAAGAGAAAAUAGGGAGAGGGGGAAAACAAGGGCUUUAGAAGCUUGAAUGAACAGCUGCAAGCCCACAAACAACCGCUCACCUGGUCCCGGGCGCGACAACAAGUUCCUGUCAAGACAAUGUGCGAACUUGCGAAAGAGUGUUCAACGCCCGGUAUAUAUCUGAAGCCCCAUCCAGCCCUGUGCCACCCGGGGGGUUCAAAGGGGCUGAGAUGGCUGAUGUUUUGGUGAGCGGAGGCAGAUUCCAGAAAUCAGCCCGCAACACGCGAAAACGAAGCUGUUUUGGGCUGUUUUGCUCGGUUCGGUGAGCGGUCGCUUGUAACACUGCAGCUUGUUCGAACUUAUAUUUUUACAAGAAAAAUGACCCAAAAGCAAGAGAAAAUAUGUUGUCAAGCAACUGUACAUGUAGGUGUGAGCGACGAACGGUUCGUUGAACGGAGUUGUUGCGAGUGCACGACGACCGUUCGGGACAUUCUCCUCCACUUAAACUGUUGACGCCCUCGUCGACGCUUGUUGGUAGUUGUUGAUGAUUUCUUCUUCAUGUCGCAGGGCAUCUUCAGGCUCCCAAUUGGCUUCAGUUCGGGGAAGCUUUCGCUACUUCACCAAGUACUCUAUCUGCUCAGCUCCGUUGGAUAGCUUUAUCUUGCCGUAUGCCAUAAUGGUUUCAACUUGCUUCUCGUAGGAGGCUGUGAUGGGAGGUAGCUGAGUUGGAACACUUCGGGCAGCAUCUUGCGGAUCCGAGUGGUAGGCUUUUAGGUUGCUGGCGUGAAGAAAGUUGUGAAUUUUGAACCACGUCGGUAGCUACAACUUUUAAGAGACGUUGCCUACCGUGCUGAUAAUUGGGAAGGGCCCUUCAUACUUGCGCACCAAUCCUUUGUGGACUUUGUUCCUAAAGAAUUGGAGUGAUGCUGGUUAGAGCUUUACCAACACCAAAUCGCCAACUUUGAACUCUUACGGUCGCCUUCCCAAGUCUGCCCACUUCUUCAUCCUUUUUGCCACCUUCUCCAAGUAAGCCCGCGUAAUAUCUGCAUUUUGAUGCCACUCCUUUGCGAAAUGGUAGGCUGACGGACUACUCGCAGUAUACCCAAUGGCCAUGGUGUGCGGAGUCGACGGUUGUUGUCCAGUUAUGAUCUCGAAGGGGCUCUUAUUGGAUGCAGAGCUCCGAUGCAAGUUGUAGGAGAAUUGGGCAAUAUCCAAUAGCUUCACCCAAUCUCGUUAGUUGGCACUCACGUAGUGACGAAGAUAUUGCUCCAAGAGCGAGUUUAUCCUUUCAGUCUGGCCAUCUGUCUGGGGGUGGAGGCUUGUAGAGAAGUAUAACUUUGACCCCAACAAUUUGAAUAGCUCGGUCCAGAAUCGUCCCAGGAACCGAGCGUCUCGAUCACUAAUGAUAUUGUGCGGGACUCCCCAAUACUUCACCACAUCCUUCAUCAUCAGCUUGGCCGCCUCCUCUGCUGAACAGUGUAGGGGAGCAGCAAUGAAGGUUGCAUACUUUGAAAACCGAUCGACCACCAUGAGUAUCGAUCUGAGUCUCCUUACAAGUGGCAAGCUUGAUAUAAAGUCUAAGGAAAUGCUCUCCCACGGCCUUUCUGGUACGGGCAACGGCUCCAAAAGUCCCACCGGCUUCUGCUACUCCACCUUGUCUUGUUGGCAAGUAAGGCAUGUUCGAACAUAUUCCUCCACAUCAGUCCCCAUCUUCGGCCAAUAGAAGGCCCUCUCCUCGAGAGCCAACGUUCUGUGAAUGCUUGGGUGUCCAGCCCAAAGGGAAUCGUGACACUCUUUUAAGAGUUCACGCCUCAAAUUGUCCACUCGGGGAACAUAAACCCUAUUCCCUUUUGUGUAAACGAGUCCAUCCUGGACCCAAAAUCGUCGUGCCUUGCCUUCUUUGAUGAGUUACAUCAGGAUAACUGCCUGGGGGUCACUAUACAGUCCAUCCCUGAUUCGGGAAAGGAAGUUGGAGUGCAACUGACUUGCUUGGCCUCUAUCCUCCAGUUGUACGACAUUCACACAUUCCACUUUCUGACUCAGCGCAUCGGCCACGACAUUCGCCUUCCCGGGCUUGUACUCCAUUGCCAUAUCAAAUUUAGCCAGGAAGUCUUGCCAUCGCGCCUGCUUUGGGGAGAGCUUCUUCUGAGUUUGGAAAUAGCUCAGGGCGAUGUUUUCCGUCCUCAGCACAAAUCGCGACCCGAGGAGGUAGUGUCGCCAAACUCGUAGAUAGUGGAUCUCUGUUGUCAUCUCCUUCUCAUGCACUAGAUACCGCCGCUCGGUCUCGUUGAGUUUGCGGCUCUCGUAGGCCACCGGAUGACCUUCCUGCAUGAGUACUCCCCCAAUAGCAAAGUCCGAAGCGUCUGUAUGGACUUCAAAGGGCUCUCCAUAGUCCGGCAAUUUGAGCACCGAUUCUUCCAGAACAACAGCCUUCAGAUCUUGGAAUGUUAUUUCACAUCUGUCAGACCACUUCUAAGGCUGCUCCUUCUUCAGCAACUCCGUCAGUGGAGUUGCCCGCUUCGAAUAUCCCGCUAUGAAGCGUCGAUAGUAUUUGACGAAACCAAGGAAGGAUCUCAACUCUGGCACCUUCUUAGGAGUUCGUCAUUCCGCAACUGCUUGCACCUUCGACUUAUCCAUCUGAAUGGAGCCAUCACCGAUUCGAUGCCCCAAGAAUAAGAUCUCAGUUUGGGCAAAGUAGCAUUUCUCCUUUUUCACGAACAAGGUGUUCUCCCUGAGAACCUUGAAAUUUGUCCGAAGGUGUUUGACAUGCUCCUCAAGCGUUUGACUGUAGACGACGAUAUCGUCCAAGUAGACAAUCACGAACUUAUCCAAAUACUCCUUGAAUAGCUGGUUCAUGAGAGUGCAGAACGUGGACGGAGCGUUGGUUAAGCCGAAGGGCAUCACCAAGAACUCAAACGCUCCAUACCUGGUCACACAAGUAGUCUUCGCUUCGUCGCCUUCAGCAAUGCGUACCUGCCAAUACCCCGACCGAAGGUCAAGCUUCGAGAAAUACUUAGCUUUUCCCAACUGGUCGAACAAGUCCGCGAUGAGCGGGAUGGGAUACUUGUUCUUCACUGUCACUUUGUUAAGGGCUCGGUAAUCGACGCAUAAUCGGAGGCUCCCAUCUUGUUUCUUCUGGAAGAGAACUGGAGCUCUGAAAGGUGCUUUAGAGCUGCGGAUGAGACCACUACUUAGCAGUUCACCUAACUGCUUUCUGAGUUCUGCCAACUCUGGCGGCCAUGCGGUAGGGUGGUCUCGCUGGAGGCUUCACUCCUGGCUCCAGCUCAAUUUUAUGAUCCAUGCCCCUGCGUGGUGGAAGAGUCUUCGGCAACUCAGGUGGCAUAAUGUCAGUGAACUCUUUCAGGACGUUCGCCACCACAGCAGGUUCAUGAUUGGCCUCCUUGUCGAGUGGCUCUAACUUCAUAGCCGCCACGAAUGUUAGUUUGUCUUUUCGUACCCCCUUCUUCAAUUGCAAUGCCGAUAUGUGUUGGGGCUCCUUGGUUCAUCUCCGAGAGACGGGAACCACGCAGGGGUCGUCACCUCCCAUCAUACAUAGGGAGUUCAAGAAUGGCAUUGGCACCAACUUCACCGCGUGCAUAAACUCCAUUCCAAGAAUCACUUGGAAGUCAUCCAAUGGCACGACCAUCAUGUUGGUGUUCCCGCUCCACGUCUCGAUUUUGAUGGGAACUCCCUUCGCUAACCCGGAGAUUCGCCUGGCCUCCGAGUUCACCGCCUUCAUUCGGCUUGGGCUCUUCUCCAAGAUCAACCCAAGUCACUGUGCUUCUCGAUCAGCUAUGAAGUUGUGGGUAGCGCCCGUGUCCACCAUUGCACGGGUCGUUUGGCCAUUUAGCUUGAUGUCCACAUACAUCAGCUCACUUCUUCUUGCUUUUUGUAACUUUGUCUUCAUAUUCUCCCCCACGUGACUCCGCAUAGCGUUCAACAAAAGCAUUGCUCCCAUUCAGGGUCCUUGCGACUCCUCGUCGUCGCUGCUGGAUUCAGAACUGCUCGAACUAAGAGCAACAGCUUUGCCCUUGUCCGAUCGGGGGGGGGGGGGGGGGGGGUGGAUGGAAGCCGUCAAAGCAUUGAGUGCCUGUUUUUGUGGGCACUCCCUCACCAUGUGUGGUCCUCCGCACAAGAAACAUCCUCCAGGUUUUGAGGCCUUGCCUUUCGGGUUCGGCCCUUUGUGGGAACUCUUCUUCUUUUGCUCGCCCCCGAGCUCCUUCCCUCGAGAAUGUUUUGGAGGGCGAUUGCCUGAAGAUUGUUUCCUUCUUCCUGGGUCUUCAGAGGAAACAAAGUCGGUGAGCCUUUUUGCAGUAGCAAUUACCCCGACGACAUCAGUAACAUUCCUUCGAUUUAGCUCCUGUUGAGCCCAUGACUUCAAACCAUCGAGGAAGCUGAACAACUUGUCCUUCUCAGACAUGUCCUGUAUGUCCAGCAUUAGUGCAGAAAAUUGUUUCAUAUAGUCUCGGAUGGUGGUACUCUAGCGGAGUUGUCUCAACUUCCUUCUUACGACGAACUCUGUGUUCUUCGGUAGGAACUGAGUUCUCAACUCCCGCUUCAAGUCCUCCCAUGUGUCGACUCGACACCAACCUUGUUGGAUCUCCUCCCAACGGGUUCGCCACCAAAGUUUCGCAUCUCUGUUUAGAUACAUUGUUGCUAUAGAAACUUUGGUAUCUUUAGAAUUGGGCCUCGUAGCUCGAAAGUAUUGUUCCAUGUCGAACAGAAAGUUCUCGAGCUCUUUGGCAUCUCUGGCCCCUCCAUAUCCAUGAGGCUCGGGUGCCCUCAAAUUUUGUGGCAGUGCAACACGGGUGUUGCUUCCUCCCGCAUUUAGUGUUCCUGUGAGCAUGACCACCUUUGAAGUGAGUUCCGCCACAACAUCCUAUAAGUGUUGCACGGAGUCUUUGGUGUCAUCAGACAGUCGGUCAACUAGGGCCUCGACCUUGUCAAUCCUAGACUUCGCUUCCUCUUGCGAGCUCUCUACCCCAACAAGCCUUUGUUGGCCAUGGUAGAGUUCCUCCAUGCUCGCUUCAAGAACAUCCAGGCGGGUUUCCGUCGUUGUGAGUCUCUCCUUGUGACUCUUUUUCCCAGUUAGCGCUCCAGAUUGCGCUUCCUCCGCUCGCGGAGAGUAACCAACUUCUCGCUCAUCAUGUUCGCUGUCGCGCUCCUCUUGAGUGGCUACAAUAGCAUGAGAGCGAGUGUGCACAUGCAGCCCACCUGCGGCUGCUUGGGGCAAGGGUCCGGCUUGCCCCAUCUUGCUUGAUUCGCCACGAUGCUUUGCCAUGGAGAAGUUACGAAGUUCGUUCGCUGCUCGCUCGAAGUGCUUGCCCGCUCUGAUAUCACAAUGUCCUGGCCUUAGCUGGAAUUGCCUAAGGCAUGAGACACCCUUGCGGCCAAAGACGCGAACUUAGCUUGCGUUGCCUAAGUCGCGAGUCACCCUUGUGGCAAAGACGCGAACUUAGCUUGCGUUGCCUAAGUCGUGCUCCGCCCUUGCGAUAUUGCUCCAUAAGGAUCAGCCCACUUGUAACCUCUCGCAGGUCCGAAGGACUUAUAAAAAGAGAAAGUUGAUUAGUUCGAAAGAACGAGCGACGGACAAGUCCCGACGUCUCGCGAAAAGGGGAAGCUUUACAAGUAAUUCAGCGAGCACCUUGCGUGCACAAGAGAAAAGAGGGAGAGGGGGAAAACAAGGGCUUUAGAAGGUUGAACGAUAGCUGCAAGCCCACAAACAGCCGCUCACCUGGUCCCGGGCGCGAUAACAAGUUCCUGUCAAGGCAACGUGCGAACUUGCGAAAGAGUGUUGAACGCCCAAUAUAUAUCCGAAGCCCCAUCCAGCCCUGUGCCACCCAGGGGGUUCAAAGGGGCUGAGAUGGCUGACGUUUUGGUGAGCGGAGGCAGAUUCCAGAAAUCAGCCCGCGGCACGCAAAAACGGAGCUGUUUUGGGAUGUUUUGGAGUUGUUUUGCUCGGUUCGGUAAGCGAUCGCUUUGUAACGCUGCAGCUUGUUCGAACUUACAUUUUUACAAGCAAAAUGACCCAAAACCAAGAGAAAACAUGUUGUCAAGCAGUUGUACAUGUAGGUGUGAGCGAUGAACGGUUCGUUGAACGGAGUUGUUGCGAGUGCUUGACGACCGUUCGUGACAACAUGGUGAUAAGUUGAUCACAUCAACUGUAGUCCUCAAAGCCUCAUCCUAAAACCUUUUGGGUAGCUUGGCCUGUGAAAGCAUAUAUCUGAUCUUUUCCAUGAUGGUGCGGUUCAUCCUCUCUGCAAUUGCAUUAUGCUGAGGUGUACCAAGAACUGUCAUCUCAUGUUAGAUCUCAUGUGACCUGCAAUAGUCAUUAAACGAUCCUGUAUACUCACCACCAUUAUCUGAUCUUAUGCAUUUCAAUUUCCUUUUUGUCUCCCUUUUAAUCCUAGCAUGAAACUCUUUGAAGACAUUAAUUACCUGAUCUUUAGUCUUCAAAGCAUAGGCCAAACUUUUCUGGAAAAAUCAUCUAUAAAAGUGACAAAAUAAAGUGCACCACUUAUACCAAGAACAUCAACAGAUCCAUCAUGAGUUUUUGUCCUCAAAGGACCACAUACAUUUGUAUAAAUACAGUCUAAGACAUGCAUUUUUCUAGAUAAAACAGGACUAGCAAAUAAAACUCUAUGUUGUUUACCUGCCAAACAAUCAAUACAAGGGUUCAGAUGUAUACCUUUGAGGUCUGGUAAUAUCUCUCUUGGAAAGAGCUUGCAGCCCCUUCUCGCUCAUGUGUCCCAAUCGUCUAUGCCACAACUCCAUGCUGAAGUCUUUUUCUGUAGCAUUUAACUGCUCACCAUAAGCUUUAACCUGCAACCUGUACAAAGUAUGACAUUUCUUUCCAUUAGCUAUAACAAGAGAACCCUUACUGAGCUUCCGUUGCCCUUUGUGAAAUCUGCUUUCAUAGUCUUCAUCAUCUAGUCUUCCAACUGAAAUUAGAUUCAGCCUCAAGUCAACCGCAUGCCUCACAUCCUUAAGCCACAACUUGCAGCCAAGGUUGGUCUUUAAAUGGAUAUCACCCAUGCCUAUGAUGUCUACUGUGUCAUAGUUGCCCAUCUUGACAACACCAAAAUUUUCAGACCUAUAUGUAGCAAAAAACUCCCUCCGUGGUGUAGCAUGAUAAGAAGCACCUGUGUCAAUCACCCACUCAAGAUCCUGACACACACAAGAAAAAAUAUCAUCAGAAGGAGAUAAAAUCAAAUAAUCACCACCCUGCAUUAUAGUUGUGAUAUUAUCUUUUGACUCUAUAGACUCCACUUCUUUUCCCUUUUUUUUGCUCUUCUUAUGUUGCUUACAUUGGUUCUUGUAAUGUCCUUUCUCACCACAAUUGUAGCAAACAAUAUCUUUUCUUGAUCUUGACUUGCUUCUACCCAUGCAUGAAUUGCUUCUAGACUUUGACCUUCCUCUAUUCUCUGAGAUAAAUGCUUGUGAAUCAUUCUGAGAUGUUGCUGAACUCUUUCUUCUCAACUCCUCAUUCAACAAACUGCUUAUUACUUGACUCAUAGUGACAACACCAUCUGGCGUAGAAUUACUAAGGGAAACCACCAGUGUCUCCCAACUUUCUAGUAAUGAACUGAGAAGUAACAAUGCUUGCAACUCAUCAUCAAGAGACAUUUUCAUAGAAGAUAACUGGUUAGUAAUACUUUGUAUUUCAUUCAAAUGUUCAGCAAUAGAAGCACCCUCUCUAUAUUUUAUGUUCACAAGUUUUCUAAUCAAAAAAGCUUUGUUGCUAGUUGUUUUUCUUUCGUAGAGACUUUCCAACUUUUUCCAAAGAGAAUAUGCAGAAAUUUCAGUAGAAACAUGGUGAAAGACACUAUCAUCAAGCCACUAUCGAAUAAAUCCAAUUGUUUUUCGAUCUAACAUCUUCCACUCAUCAUCUGUCAUAGUUAUGAGUUUUGCACUAUCCCCCUGCAAAGGUCCAUAUAAAUCUUUGCAAUUCAAGAGAUCUUCCAUUCUUGGUUUCCAUAUCAUCCAAUUGUUUCCAUUUAAACUAAUCAUGCGAGAAACAUUACUGGCCUCCAUGUUCAAAUACAAAAUUUAAAUCACCAAAACCUCUUUUGCUCUGAUACCAGUUGAUAGGGAUAUAAACAGGAAUAACCUUUGUAUAUGAACAAAUACUAGAAGACCAUGAUAUGCAGCGGAAUUAAAUGAAAUCACAAUCAAAUAGAACACCAAGAUAUACGUGAAAAACCCCUUCAAUGUGAAGAAUAAAAAUCACGGGGCAAACUAGAGAUAAUCCACUAUGAGAAUAAUGAAUAUACAAAUCUCAAUCUCUUGCUAUAAGCCCUAGCAACAAUCACAAGAGAACAACUGAGAUACAAAGAUCACGUCACUGUCCACGAUAUCUAAAACCUCCCUAAGUAAUCACAGCAAGAGUUUACUGUAGAUUUGAUCUAACCUGAGAUGAGAACACUACUAGAUGAUUGAGAACAGCCUCUCUGCGUUAUCCUUGUCUUCUUACCUUUCUUUCUCUUUCUUUUCUGCCUUGUUUUCCUCCUUUUCUUUGAAAUCCCGUGACUAUAUCCUUCUCCCACGUUGCUGCCCUAUUUAUGCCUUUUUCUACCUCCAAAACAUAGCCACCACACCCCCCUAAUGUUAAUUAGGGUUAAGUUAAGAGGGGGUAAGCUGUGGGCUGUCGAAGCCCACCAUGAGCUGAAUUUGUGGGCUGCCAACCCAACAAAAUAUACUUUUAUAGUUGUGGGGCUGAUCAUAAUUCCAUCUUCUUUGCAUGUCUCUACCAAUAUUUUUCUACAGGUAAGGUGAAUGUCAUUCCAUGAUGGGUGCUGGCUCUGCUGUUGACGGUGGCUUCUAAAUGAACUUUGGUGAAAUUGUCCUGAAGACCAAAGCAUUAGCAGAUCUUGAUAUUUGUGUUUUUAUAUGAGGUACGUUACAGAUUCAUGAAAUCUAUACUUUUGUUAUGUUUACAGAAGUUUGUAUAAAGUUUGGUGUAUGAUUAUCCUCGACGAAUGUCCUUUCAGGUUCUCACAUCUGUGUAGCUUAUGUUCGUUGAGAAUCUUAAUGAGAAUUUAUUGUAUCAGUGAAGUCUAGAAAACGAGUUAUGACAAGAAAAUGAUGGUUAUUUAGGGAUGAAUCUUCCAGACUAAUCUACUGAUCGGUAAAACCCAAUAUUUACAUACUUGCAACACUUAAAAAACUUUUUUAUGUGGCAUUAUGUGAUAAAUCCAUCUGUGAAACUUGUGGAGAUUGGAAUUUCCAUAAUGUUUAUAUUUUUUUUGGAUGCUGAUGAACCCCAGAAGAAAGAUUUAUUCCCAUGAAUGAAAUGCUACUAGUUUACCUUCUAGGUUAAAAGUGAGUAAAUUUAUUGUCAAAAGAAAUCAUAUUGCUCAAUCCAUAGGCAUGCUCAUAUUCGAUAUCCCUGUCAAGCAAUCCUUGGUUGCUGUGAUAUUUCAGCAAUCCUUGGUGGUGGUGGUGGUGGUGGUGGUGGUGGUGGCAGUCAAAGUUGAGAACAUGGCCAAUUUGGACAGUGGUCCAUCUGAUUCAUCUCUAUCCUGGUGGCUAUAUUCAUCAAGCAACCUGUGACUUUUUGCAAAUCUACUUUUAUCUAAAAGUUGAAAAUAAGCUCCAAUUGGACCAGCAUCCUUUGACUUUUUGCGAGAGACGUUUUCUGAAUUCUACACUUCUUUUUCAGUGAUGAAGAUGAUGGCGCAUGAUGAUGUAUGUGCAGGAGAAGCUGCAGGAAGCAUGUGAUAUGAACUAACAGAAGAAGACAAUCUAUCCAUCCACCCUCAUGAAGCAGGUGACGAGCAUCCCUUUCUUCUCAUCUCUUGUUUUGGAUCAACUUGCAGGUGCAAAAGCCAUCUCAACCUACUGAUAAUGUGAACUUGUGUAUAAUUCCACUUCUCAGAAACGGAAAGAAGCAAUGAACAAAUCCAAGACAAGUCGAUGCUGAUGAUCAAACGAUCUCAAUGUGUAUAUGGAAGAUGCCACUGGCUUUGGUCAAUCAAAAUUCAAAAGUCCAGUGGAGCAUUCAGAGCCCUCGAUGGACAACUACUGCAAUAAUGCAUAGGAGAUCACAAAAACAAGUUGAAACACUUGUCACCUCCAAGAAAUCUCGGACAAGUGGAUGCUGGUGACCAAUCCAGUUUGUGCAUCUCGGUGGCCAAAGCAUAUUUGCUGAUGACAGUUCAUGAUCUUAAUCCGGGCAUUGAGGAUGAAGAUUCAACUGGCUUUGGUCAAGGAAAUCGACCCUGAAACCUUGAGCCAGCAGUGUCUUGUCUUGGCUGGAUGUUGGAGGUGGACUAAUCUACUUCAAGGCAUGCAAUUGUCAGCUAGUGCGGCAUGAUCCAAUGGAGCAUUUAAAACCAUUGAUGGACAUCAACUGCAAUGCGCAGAGGUCUUCGGAUUCUGGUGCUGAAGCAGUAGAACCCAAUGCUUCACGCUUUUCCUCAAUCAAUCAAUCUUACUUUGCAUGAAGAGAAACAACAAGUACCUGAAGUUGCUCAGAAAGUUGAACCAGGACUAAGCGUGCAGGAGUUUUGUCACUCAUGAUUUAAACCUGUCUCGAUCAAUCUAAUAGAAAUUUCUUCAGCGAUGACAAUGGAUUGAGAUUUUAGAUGAGGAAGCAAAUUGAAGUUUGGGUUAAGAUUUAUUUUAGUCAGUUUUAGUAAUAAGUUUGUAUGGUUGAUUCGUUUUUAAAAUAAUUUUAAUGUUUUUAAAAAUACAACAUAUAAAUCUUUCUUAUGAAAUGUGAGUUAACAAACAUUAAAUUCUGUUUACACGAUAUGUCGAUUCAUAAUAAAUUAUUAAUAUAAUGAUACGUAUAAUUUAAAUUAAAAAAAAUUAAAUUUUAUUUUAGCUUUUAAUAUUUUUUAAAAUGUGAGCAUUAAAUUCUGUUUACACGAUAUGUUGAUUCAUAAUAAAUUAUUAAUAUAAUAAUAUAUAUAAUUUAAAUUUUAAAAAAUAUUAAAUUUUAUUUUAACUCUUGUGAUUUUAAUUAUGGUCAACUUAAGUUUUUAUGGUUUAAUUGUGUUUAAAAUAAUGCUUAUAUUUUCAAAAACAUAGGAUAUAAACUAUCUCGUGAGUUAAUAGACGUUAGAAUCUACUUUGAAUCUACUUACGUGGCAUAUAGACUCACAAUAAAUUAUUAAUAUAAUGAUAUAUAAUUUAAGUUUUAAGAAGGGUUAAGAUUAAUCUUGUCGAGGAAGAGAAAACGAUAGAGGUUGUAACGACGAACAAAGACGGAGAGACAAAAGGCUGGAGGAGGCAUUGGUGAGGGAGAGCUAGACUGUCAUAUUGUAGGCAUGGUGGGUGGAGGCACGGGAGAGGAUGAAGUGGGAGACGGUGGGGAUAAAGAUGCCGAGGGGGAGGAAGAGGAAUCGAGAAACCAUUGUGUGCAUAGUAUCAAACUGGUCGAUGCACAUCCAUCUAAAGCUGGAUCGAAAGCUCAUGAGCUUGUUUUUAAUGCGAGAGAGAUCGUGUGCAUACGACGCCUUGCUAUGUAGUAGUGGCUCAGUGUUGUUACUGCUGAUCACUUUCAUGAUGAUGCAUUUUCAUGCCAUUGAUGGUGGUCUCAGUUUUUUUCUUUAAACUUAAAUUAUAUGUAAUAUUAUAUUAAUGAUAUAUUAUGAGUCAAUAUAUCACAUAAGUAGACUUUACUAUCUAUUAACUCAAGCUUGACAGAAAUAACUUAUAUGUUAUGUUUUGAAAAUAUAAGAGUUAUUUUAUACACGAAUAAACUAUAAGAACUUAAGUGGUCUAUGACUAAAAUCACAUGGGUUAAAAUAGAUCUUAAUUUUUUAUUAAAUUUAAAUUAUAUAUAUUAUUAUAUUAAUAAUUUAUUAUGAAUCAACAUGUCAUAUUAUAACAUAUAUAUACAAAGAAGAAACUUAAAUGUUAUAUUUUAAAAUAUAAAAUUUAUUUUAGAUGUGAGUAAAUCGAUCAAAAUCAUAAGAAUUAAAAUGGACCUUAAACCUAAAAAUUUUGAUUCAAGUAUAUAACAGUAAAGAAGAUUUGGAUAUGGAUGGUUUUUUUUUAAUAUCCUUUAAUGGGGUAAGAGAUUAAGAAGCAUUCUAGUUGAGUUUGGAUACCUUUAAAUCUUUCACAUAUUUGAAGUAUUUUAUGUGAUAUUUAUUUAUUAUGAUGGAUGAUAAAUCUUAACAUCCGGACAUAGGUGAUCACGUUGGUCUUUAUGUUAUUAUUAUUAUUAUAAUUAUAAUUAUUAUUAUUAUAAUAUAUGAUACAUAUAAUGUGGUAGUAACACAUUGAUCAAUGUCCUCUACAAUAAUAAAUGAAAAAGAUGUCCAUUGGGCUCCACCAAGGUGGCGGGGGGAAUAAACAGUCUCGAAUGGCAAUUCAAUAUUGGCAUCUCACGGCUGCCGCCGCUCUCUUCCAGUUCACGUCGACGACUCCAUGGCUCGUAACUCUCUCUCUCUCUCUCUCUCUCUCUCCUCUCUCUCUUCGAAUCUGAUACAUUCCGUUCCUUGAUGCGGCGCAGUUGGGCGGAUCCUGCGGCCGGUCAUCGCCGUCGCGCUGUUCCUCCUCUUCCUCCGGUUGCCGCCGCGGGCGACGGGGCAGAGGCCGGAGGUCGUUACCGCGAGGCACGGCGCCGUGGCCACCGAUGACCGACGCUGCUCCAGGGUCGGGAGGGACGUCCUCCGAGAGGGCGGCCACGCAGUGGACGCCGCCGUCGCCGCUGGCCUCUGCCUGGGCGUCGUCAGCCCCGCGUCCAGCGGCGUUGGCGGGGGCGCCUUCAUGCUCGUGAGGGCGGCCAGCGGGAGAGCGCACGCCUUCGAUUCGAGGGAGACUGCUCCCUUGGCGGCCUCCGAGGUACGACAUACCCAUCUGCUCGGCUUCUUAUUUGCUUUUGGGUAUAUUCCUUUUAAUCGAUAGAGUUACUUGUAGAUGAUCGAGCUACUAAUUCUUGGGGCAACUUCACAUGAGAGUCAAAAGAACAACUGUCAUCAACUUAUAGGAUUUAAUUUCUGAACUUUAAGGUUAUUUAAGAUACCCAGCCAGCAAACCAUCUCAAAGAUGCACUUUCUUAGUAAAGUGUAUGCUGUCAAAACUAUUUAUCUUUGUAAGUUUUCCGUCAAAAAAGUGCCUUGCUAAUUGAUAUUGGAUUUUUUGGCCUUUUUAAAUCGCCAUAUAAGUUUUUCUUUUCCUUUGAUGCUUAUGUUUGAAUGCUUAGCCGAGUAUUGGUAUUUGAUUUGAGACUGCCUGUUUUCCUCUUCUUUUCUCUCCUUCACAAUUACUUUGACAGACCCUCCAUGUUCAUCAACUUAAAUGGAAAAUUAAAGGAAUCUAAUUGUAAAUUUUUUUGGCACAAAAAAAUCUAUUUAUUUGUCUGUCAUGUUCCUAGAGCAAGUUCUUCAAAAUUUUCAAUGUAUUUGAUGAUGCCUGCAGAACAUGUAUGCUGGCAAUGCUGCAGCAAAAGCAAGUGGUGCCCUUUCGGUAGCUGUUCCCGGAGAAAUUGCAGGAUUUUAUGAGGCUUGGAAACAAUAUGGAAAGCUUCCGUGGAAGAGGCUGGUAAUGCCAGCAGCAAAUAUUGCUGAAAAAGGAUUCAGAAUAUCUCCUUACUUAUAUAUGCAGAUGAAUAGAACAAAAUUAGGCAUUUUUACUGAUAAAGGACUGCGUGAUAUUUUCACAUUAAAUGGAAGAAGCCUUUUGCAGCAAGGAGAUGUGUGUCAUAACAAAAGACUUGCACAUACUCUGAAAGCUAUUUCAGACCACGGGCCAGAUGUGCUUUAUAAUGGUCCCAUCGGAAUUAAACUAAUUAGAGAUAUUAAGAAGUCUGGAGGCAUAUUAACGAUUAAAGAUUUACAGAGAUAUCAAGUAAAAGUGAAGGAGCCAAUCUCUUCUGAAAUCCUGGGGUUAAACAUCUUGGGCGUGCCACCCCCUUCAUCUGGUGGUGCUGGACUGAUACUUGUAAGUCUUUAUUGAUUUAAUCUCCUCAUGUCUAACAAAGAUAUCAAUGUCGAGUCCAUGGAUGCUACUAGUAUGAGUGAGGUUCCAGUUUUAAGUGCCAUUUGGAAAAGAAUUGAGAGUCUUGUUUACCAAUUAGUUGACAUGUAUUAUUAAAAAGGUUAGGAAAUUAGCUGACCAACCAUUCUGUUGUUUCACUUACCUGCUUAUAAACUAACCAUUUUGCCCUUUCCUGUUUCCAUUCAUUUAAUGACAAUCACUAUGUAGAAAUUAUAAAUGGACAUUAAUUAGGAAGACAUUUUCUUUCUUGUAAUUUUGCACUUCCUGAUUGAUAAAAGUACCGAAAAUUUGGUAAAAUGUACCAAGUUUUCUCUAGUCUGACUGUUUAGGUUACAUCUUUGUCAUUAAUUCUGAAACUAGUUGGCAUAACUAACAACCAACAAGUGAACUAUUUUGUGCUUCUAGAAUUGAGAAAUAUGCGAGCCACUUUUCCAUAUGACCUGCCUUUCUUUUAUACUUGAGUUAUCAGUUACCAUGUAUCAGAUUUCAAAGAUCAAGUGGACAUUUGCUGAUACGUUAAAAUAUUUAUCAUCCAUAGAUUUUUCUGUACUUGUAUAUAAUACAAAAAAUGCUCAAUAUACCUUAUAAAAAAUUGGCCUUUCAUUGAUACGGAAUCAGGCUAAGCCUCUAUAUUGAUGACAUGACAGAAAAAAAAAAAAACAAAAAAGUAUACUUCAGUUAAAUGCGCUGAUUCCAAAAAUGUUUGUAACAUGUAAUUCUGCCUAGGAUUUCUGCAAAUUGAUUGAUAUUAUUUAGUAGUAGUUCUUGAACAUAUGAACUCACAGGUUAUUAUUAAAAUGUAACAAGAAUUAUAAAGCAUCUAAAUCCAACUCUUUUUAAUUGCAUUAUUGUUCAUAAGACACCCAGUAUGGAUCUUAAAUUCUUUUAUGUAACAGAAAUUUCCCCUUUCUUUUCUUUUCUUGAUGGCACAGAUAUUAAAUAUUCUUGCUCAAUAUGGAAUUCCAUCAGGUGUUUCUGGCUCUCUUGGACUUCAUCGGUUUAUUGAAUCACUGAAGCACAUGUUUGCGGUGAGAAUGAACCUUGGGGAUCCUGACUUUUACAAUGUUACGGCAGUUCUUUCCGAUAUGCUCUCUCCAAAGUUUGCAGAAGAUUUAAAGAAAACCAUCAAUGACAACAAGACAUUUCCUCCUAACUAUUAUGGAGGAAGGUAAGUAAAGUACUAUAUCUAGAUCUUAUCCUACUCUUAUGAUUACAUUCACAAAUUUAAAAUACAGAUUACAGCUGUAUUUAGAACUGUAGAAGUUCUUAUGACAUGCUAUUGUGGUUUAUAUCUACUUCAACAUCUUUCCCUGCAAAAACAAUUAAAGACUUGAACUAUUGAAUGAUCAACACAUAGAUUUAGGUCAUUGGUGUCACAUCACAGAUUUAUAAAAAGAAUAAUAAAUCAGUAAUUUAUUAUCCAUAAUUUACAAAAUAAACUCUCUUUCUUUUUUUUCGUCAUUGAAUUCAAAUCAUUGUCUUUACAAUAGUAAAUAUUCUAUUAACUAGAAAAAAAGAAUCACAUCUUCUUGGUAGGGUCACAAAUAUUUUUCACCCAAGCUUCAGAUCUAUUACAAAGUAAUAGAUUACUUUGAAAUUAAAUAUAAGAUAAAAACAUAUCAGCAAUCAUACAUGCUAGUAGGAACCUCGAAAAAAUCAUAAAAAUAAUUUUCAAUAUUCGUGAAAUAUAAACAAAUAUUAAUAAUUUAAUAAGAAAUGAUAAUAUAUCGAUUCAUCAUAAAACUUAUGCAUCAGAAAAAUGAUGAUAAUUUCUUACAUAAUAAGCAAAAUCAUUCAUCAACCACAUGCAACACAUACAUAAUAACUAGAUAACAAAGACGUACAUCACACCCGAUGGUGCACUCUCUCAAUAGCGGAUAGAGAGGCAUAUUCCACGGGAUGAAUUUCUCCCAAUAGAUUGACAUUAAACACCCGAGUCUUGGACAGGUCACAUGCGCUGUACAUACCUAUUCUAAGUAAUAGAUUGAGUUGAGGUAUAACGGGCUAGAUAGAGGAGCAACGAUGUGUUUAAUGUCAAUCGCAUAGUUGGGCAGGCUUAACUUCAUAGACUAGGUUGAGCCUCACUUAUAAGUUGGGCUAAGCCUUACCGCUAAACUAGGCCAUGCUUGGCUCGUGAGUUGAUUAUAUAUAGACACAUGAGUUGAGGUCGUAUCUGACCAUAUGGACUGGGUCAUAUUUAACCGCAUGAGCUGACCCAUGCUUAGCCACAUGGUUGGGUCGUAUCUUGCCACAUGGGCUGGGUCAUACAUGGUCAUAUGGACUAGAUCAUAUCUAGCCAUAUGGGUAGGGUCAUGCUUGGCCACAUGGGUUGGGUCGUACCUUGCCAUAUAGGCUAAGAUAUACAUGACCACAUGGAUUGGAUCGCACCUGAUCACAUGGGUUGGGUUAUGCCUGGCCACAUGGAUUGUGUUGUAUCUUGUCAUAUGGACUGACUCCUACAUGGUCACAUGGGCUGGGUCAUACCUAGUCACAUAUGCUAGGCUGUACUUGGCCAUAUAGGCUGGGUCAUGCAUAGUCACAUAUGCUAGGCUGUACUUGGCCACAUAGGCUAGGUCGUACAUAACCACAUUGGCUGAGUCGAUUUAGUUUGACAGAUCAACCUGACUCAAGUAAGAUCCCAAUUAAACUCCUCUUAUUAAAUUAGAUUUCGAUAUUUAAAAUUAUUAAAGAAUAACUUAAUAAUUAUGAUGCAUAAUGAUGUUUUAAUUUUGAAAUUUCAUGAUUAAUAAAUAAUGAUAAUUGAUUUGUGAUAUUAGAAUGAUUAUUUGAUUUAUAUUGAUCUCCUAAGNNNNNNNNNNNNNNNNNNNNNNNNNNNNNNNNNNNNNNNNNNNNNNNNNNNNNNNNNNNNNNNNNNNNNNNNNNNNNNNNNNNNNNNNNNNNNNNNNNNNNNNNNNNNNNNNNNNNNNNNNNNNNNNNNNNNNNNNNNNNNNNNNNNNNNNNNNNNNNNNNNNNNNNNNNNNNNNNNNNNNNNNNNNNNNNNNNNNNNNNNNNNNNNNNNNNNNNNNNNNNNNNNNNNNNNNNNNNNNNNNNNUUUAGGAGAUCAAUAUAAAUCAAAUAAUCAUUCUAAUAUCACAAAUCAAUUAUUAUUAUUUACUAAUCAUGAAAUUUCAAAAUUAAAACAUCAUUAUGCAUCAUAAAAUUGUAACAAUCUCAACAUCAAGAUUUCAAAACAUAAAUCAAUGCUAAUUAAAAAAAAAGGAUCCUACCUCUCCUCGGCUAUUCUUUCCUUGAUAUCAUCUUCUCGGGAAGUUCUCUCCUCACUCAUCUCAUUAUUAGGUUUAGUAAGGAAUGAGGGAGGAGUAGCCCCCUUUAUAUAGAAGAAGAUGAGAUCUUCUCGAAAGGUAAAUAAUAAUUUAAUUUUUAUUUUUAAUUUAUUUUUAUUUUGCUUUCACACAUAAAGGGAGUAAUAUAAUAUUCAUUUCUUAUAGUUCAUACACAAAAAAUAGAAUGUAAAUUAUUUACUUCCUAAAUAUCAAAUCACUCGUUAGGAAAUAAAUCAAUUAAUAAUUUAAUUGAUUAGUAGAAUUCUUAACUUAUCCACAUGAUUAAAGAAACCAAAUUUAAUUAUUUCCUUAAUUAUAGUACACAAAUAUAGAAGUUAAUAAUAAGGUAAUACAUUAUUUAUAGUAAUUAAUUUAUGUUAAGGGAGAAAUUAUCGGUGAUUACAAUUGAUCAUUAUAGAUGGACUGAAGGUGAAAUACUAAGAUGUUGAGAGCCACAACCCUUGUUAGAUUUUCUAUAUGUGGUUUAAACUUUUAAACUUUAGGUCAACAAAGCAAUCUUGGCUGCUUUAUGAUAUGUUUUGAUGCAAGAGAAAUGUUGCAAGUUCUAAUCUUAUAGUAGUAAAUAUAUUUGGUCCUUGUAUAUGAUGAUCUGACUUAUGAACUGCUAUGUUGGGUGCUCGUGUUUGUGGGUUGACAAUAUAUUAUGUCUGUAAUUUCAGUUGGUUGCUUCAUGUUUUCACAUAAGGAAUAAUAUUAGUUGAAUUUGGAAGCUUAUUGGUCUGUCCUACUACUACACUAAUAGGGGUUGCAAUGGCCAUAUUUGCACUGAAGUUCUAUCCUGACACAGUCAGCAAAACUGAUCUUUCUUUUAUUUACUGAAUGAGUGUGAAAGAGAGGAAGACAGAAAAGAAUCAAAGAGAGAGUAAAUAAGGUUAGGGAAGACAUAUUCCUUAUGGUUAGCCAUUAAGUUGGGCCUUGAAAUAGUUGGUGCUAUUGCUUAGAAGGUAGGACAUGGAACAUGAGUAAUUAGCAAUGCCGAUAUUGGGAUGAUUUUAAGAAACAUGAUCAUGGAUACAGUGACAAGAUUUAUCGCAGUAGAUGCUCAUGCAAAGCUGCAUGUGCAUAUUAUUUGUUUUAUGCCAUCAGUGUAGCAGGUGCAUAAAUUUCUCUGCGUUUUUGUCAAAUGGUGAUCUCUUGGAUUGUUUAAAUAAUCUUGGCUGAUCUCUUAGAUUGAUUAUUGGUGUUUACAUGUUCUCUCAGUCUAUUACUGUGUGUGACAUAUGCAGGUGGAAUCUGAUCAAUGAUCAUGGAACCAGUCACUUGAGCAUUGUUGAUAGUGACCGAAAUGCUGUUUCAAUGACCAGUACUGUCAACUCAUACUUUGGGUCACAGAUUUUAUCACCUAGUACGGGAAUAUUGCUUAACAAUGAGAUGGAUGAUUUUUCCAUCCCCAAUAGUUCUUCUGCUAAUAUUCCACCACCAGCUCCAGCAAACUUUAUUAGACCAUUGAAAAGACCAUUAUCUUCCAUGAGCCCUACAAUUGUUGUCAAGGUAUGCUAUUUACUUCAGGAAUAUCCUCUGUUUAUACCAUGUAUAUAUAUUCUGCAAUGAGAGCGAAAUACUGAUUUGUAAGUAAAUCUAGGCCACCUUGAUUUACUAUAUUAUGUUCAUGAAGGCUGAUUGUCUUUGUACACUAAGAGGCAUCCACUAGAAACAAAGUGCAUCAUCUUUCACAAAGAGCGUCCUUAACAAGCUUGCCUAAAAUCCACAAGAUGAUGUCCAAGAUUAUUUCUUACAGAAUAUUGUAAGUCCAUUUGAAAUGUUCCCUGAAGAGAGUGGGUAAUGAUUGAUUUAAUUUCUCCAUUUACAAGAUUUUUUUAUAUUUUGAUUGAAAUUAGCUUCUAAAUUGCUUUCUAUUAACUCUCUCAAGCACAUCAUGUAUCAUAAGAGAGUUGAUGCCUUUAUGUAGAACUUGAGUGGGGCUAAUCUACCUAUUAAAGUAGGAUGCCAUGGCAAAAAGUGUCGGGACAUUCCAAGCAUUGUAAACCACUAUUCUUCUGUUAUCUUCUUUUUCUUGCUUUACAGGAUGGGCAAUUGAAGGCUGUGGUGGGUGCGAGCGGAGGAGCCAUGAUCAUUGCUGCGACUGCUGAAAUAUUGCUGAACCAUUUCGCACAGAGGAUGGAUCCAUUAUCUUCAGUUUUAGCUCCACGAUCUUAUCACCAGGUUCUGCUACUUCCUCCUUUUCUUUCAUUUCCUAUCCUUGCAUAUUCCAAUAUUAUCCCUAAAAUGAGUUCCAGUAGAUUGAAAACGCAUGCUGCUGAAGGUUAACGUAGAGGUUCUUUACGUAUCCAAAAUGACAUGAACAAUGACUUUAGGUCCCAUAUAAUGCUCCAUUUCUUAUAUCUCACUGGAACAUGAAACUUGGCAAGUUCCAAAGUUGAGAAUGUUUGGAACUCUAGUUUUUAUUGUAUCACCAAGUCCCAGUAGCAGAAUUAUGGAGUCUUUGAGUUGUUUUCAGUAAGAAUUGUUUUAAAUAUGCUUCAACCAACUAUGGAGUUUUUGCUUUCUGUUUCUUCUGCAGCUGAUACCAAAUGUGGUUCAGUACGAGAACUGGACGACGGUAACAGGCGACCACUUUGAAGUUCCUGCUGCAACAAGAGCAGCCCUGCAGAAGAAGGGCCAUGUCCUACAAGCCCUUUCUGGAGGCACGAUUUGCCAGUUUAUCGUUGUGCGCAGCAGCCUAGAGAAGUCGGCAACAGUUGGAGGUGAGCUCACUGCUGUUAGUGACCCAAGAAAAGGUGGUUUGCCGGCUGGUUAUUAAAUGAUGAUGCAUAUGAUGAUUCCUCGAGCAAGCAAAGAAGUGCUAAUCUUCGUUACCAAUUUACAGCUCAGUAGGAGAGUUGUGAUUGCUUGAUUCUCAAUUAUAGACAUUUUCUUAGUUACCUUAUUUGAAUAAUAGAAGAUUUGCACCAUAUGCAUAAUCCCUUCAGAGCUUAAAAAAUUUUGCAGAUCUGACUGUGUAGUUAAUAAUGUCCACAGGUUUGGUAAAGGUUACCGCAAGCCAAUUCUUAUUUGAAAUUCUAAUUCACAUUAAUAUUCUUAAAAGUUAUUAUGAUGCUAAUAAUAUUAGGGAUAUUUUAGCUAUAUUAUUAUUAUUAUUAUUCACGUAUGCAUCUUCUAACUUAAAUAAACUAAUGUUAGCCAUGGUUUUGACUAAUUUGAAACCUUUUGGGUCAGUGCUAACAGCAGUAUCAUAAUGAGGGAUGUAUAAUAUGCAAUGUAAACAAAACAUAUAUGUACACAUACACACACACACUGCAAACGAUAAAAGCUGAGAUUUUGUGCAAAGCGGAAGCAAUCAAGCAAUCGUAACCCUUUUUUUAUUUUUAUUUUUAUACAGUCCCUAAUGAUGUGAUACUCAAAGUUCAUAUCCUGUUGAGUAAAACAAUAUGCAGAAGCCACGAACUCUCCAUAAUAAACACUCAGCUUUAUGUCGCUAAAGUUGGAUUUGUGAACCUAAAAAUCUUUAAUUCAUCAGGCAGAUGAACCCGGAUAAAUCCACAGAUGUUCUUAAAGGAAAGAUAGAAUUUGUUACAACAUAAUUUACAACAUACGACAUCAUAUACGGCUUCACAACCAGAGGUCAUGGAGCUGUCAUAAAUAUUUACAGAUUAUCUCCAUUUCAGUUCCCUGCUUUCAAUUUGGGUGACUAUUUUAUUGAUAAAAUUACUCCAGAAUCUGGAUGAUAGCAGCUACCUUCCUACCAUCUCGUUCCCCUAGCAGCUUCUUGGUCACAGACGACAUUGCAUGUUGCAAGGUACAGGUUCUGAAGUUUCUAAGCUGGUUCACGAGGUCGGGCAGCCCACAAGGAGCUAAGGGCACGAAGGCGUUGGAAGUAAUCGCCCAAUGCAAGAAGGCCUCGUGCUGCUUGGCGGACUGUGAGAAUCUUGUACAUCUGCUGCAAGGUUUGCUGCCGAAGGUGGUCAGCCUGUAGUAACAACAUUAGCAUUAGGAAAGGAUAGUUUCGUUCCGAGGUGAACAUUCAUUCCGACUGAACAUUCUCAAACAAACUAUUCAUGAUUGCUGGUAAUAGGUAGCCCACUUUUCAACCCAAGCAUGUGUCAUUAUGAAAAAUCAAUAUUGGUCGGACCGACUGGUAUUAUCGGCUUGACCAAGGAUCGGUAUUGGCCUAUAUCUAAUUAACUAUCAUUUUCUUCCAGUGAUACCGGAUGGUGUACCAUCUGAUAUAGUCAUAUGAUAGAUAUCAGUUUGAUCAGUUGCUAAAACUUGUAUUAGACCAAGAUCUAAAACCUUGUCUUGAGUAACCUAGUGUACGUUUUGAAAAUAUUUCCAUGAAUGAAAUGUUAUUGCUUUAUCACUUUUGCCCAAUUGAGUCAUCAAAUACAGAGGAGAAAAUUUAUCCCAAAAAGAAAUGCAGAGGUGAAAUAGGAAAAGAAAGGGAAAAUGUAGACCUUGAACAAGCCAGCAUAUGCAAAUUUGGGUUCGAAAUCUAAUCUUAAAACAAGGGACUCCAGUUCAAAUCUAAUCUAAACCAGCAUAUGCAAACUUUAUAAAGGAUCUAGAAAAGGAAGAACUGAGAACGAGAAAAUAACAUUAAGUGGUUCAUUGUAAGAAGACUGGUAAUUACCUGGUUUACGAAGCUUACAAGAGCCUCCAGUUUCCCCAUUGCAUUCACCAUCUGUCCCAUGUAAUCCGAAACACCAGAGGUUCCUGAGGAAUCAGAUGUUAGAGUCUCAGCAAGAUUUUGUUGAAGCUUAUCCAUUCCUUGGGAAAGUGCAUCUUCAGCUUGCUGCGAAGAUUGUUGCAGGUUACAGACAGAAAUAACUUGUUGCUCAGUCAAAGGAUCAAGCUGUGGUGAGAGAACCUAUAACCAAGAAAGUAAAUACAUGUUAACUGCACUCCAAAUACAGGGAUCAUAUAGUCCAAUAGUCUGAAUGCUGCAACAUUUACAAAAUGGCCCUUUCAACUGAUGCUUUAAGAUGUUAUGCUGUGCUAAUAAUAUCUGAACUAAGUACCAAAAUAUUAGGACCUUUUACUCCACAAAAACCAAUAAAAUCACGAGAUUGAUGUAACUCAUUAAAUCACCUUUAAAAGUUCUGAAGGCCGAAAACCCCCAAUCCAAAGAAAAAAUCGUUCUGCAGCUGUCUUCCACAUGCCAGACAUAAGAUAGAAGACAUCAGAUUUCGCAGCAAUUGCUUUGAUAUGAAAAAGAUUGUCAUAGUGGCUCAAUGCACUCUCUACAAGCAUGCGAAGCUCUAUAUCAGAUACAUGUGCUUGCAAAGCAGCUCUAAGUUCACUAGUCUGUCGGUUUUGUUCUUCAACCCAGUGCCCAUAUUCCAUCUCAAAAGCAGUAACACCUGAAAGAUGUCAAGAAGGAAUCCUUUAGGUACUUCAGCAGGUUAAGUGGUAAAUUCAUUCUCCAAUAAAAAUUCCAGGAUGAGGAUAAUAAGGAAAAAGGCAUGUCCAAAAACCCUAAAGCACAAAGCUCCCAGCAUGUUUUAAAAAUUAUAACAGUUAAUAAUCAUAAAAGAAAGCAACUAACAUCCGUCUUCCGAGUUAAUAUUCAUGCAAGGUAGUAAUAUGGUUCAGCAACUAACUCAUACAUUCUUUAAUGAUAGUUACUGCAGUAACUGUUUUGACUCUACUUAUAUGGUUUACUUAGGCCAAGGAUAAACCACACACGUAAAGCAGAAAUGAGACCAGAACAAUGCUUUUGAACUAAAAAUGUGAAGUUAGAUUAAGAAAAGAGACAGAGGAAGAUAUUAAUGCUCCUUGACGUGCACAAGCAUGAUAUACAAUAUUAAACAUUAUGAGCAUUCUAGUCUGACAUAAUUAAAUGUUACAAACAAUGAAUACCAAAGUAAAAAAGAAUGACACUAGGGCAAACCCAGUGAGGGUUCCCACAAGUUCAGGGUCAUAGCCAUACCCUGGUAUUUUGAGUGGCUAUUUAUGUGGCUCAAUCAUUUUGAUGUUGCAUGGUCUAAAAAGGUACUGUGCCUCCAAAAGUGAGGGAACAAAUAUUUCACCUGAAUUGACACUUCCUGAUAGUCCAAGAGUUGACUCUCCUAAAUUCCCACCAAUGUAGACACCCUGCAGCUCAGCAGUAACUCAAUCAGCUUAGGAACUGACAACUUGUAUGUUUAUUAUAUAAAAUAUUCCCUAUACCUGCUGCUUAGCCUGGUCAAGCUGCUGUUCUAUCUGCGCUAGUUUUAGACGGCUCGAUUCUAAUUGUUGAACAUAAGCCUAUCAAAGAAAGCAACAGAAGAUAAGAAUAUUGUGUGCAACUUUCAUCCAUUUGCAGAAUUUCCAUGUAAAUAUACCUUCUUUCUCAGACGACUUUUUCGAGCAGCCUCUCUGUUCUGUGCAAGACGUCUUAAUACCUAUAGAGAAAGUAAUCAUAUGCACUGACAUCACUAUUAUAUAAAAAUAUAAUGUCAUUCAUGUUCACAUGGAGCGUUUACAGCAUAUAGAAUUUUCUUUAAAUUAACUACUUAAUUGUCCAUACAUAAUCUAAGUUCAUAAAUCUAUAGUCAGAGGUUUGGACCUAACAAAAAUUACUGACAAAUUUGAUUUCACAAAAUGAGGUAUGAGUUCACCACAAUCUACCUUGACAAGAAAGAACAUGCAUUUUCAUCCCUUAUUUUGAAACAUCUUAGAAGCUUGAACACAGCCAAGAAAUUUUAUCAUUGGCAUUAGGAUGGCUUACAAUGCUUCUAAUGUCAUAUCAAAACAUUCUUGCACAAGUUAGUUCAUGGCUCAAGUCUAAAUCCUAAGCAUCCUACAUUAUCUAGUAAUAACUUUAGCAAAAGUGACUUGUUGCUUUUUAGCGAGUAAGGUCCAUUGAUGAUGUGAUUUUCUUGAGCUUUUUUAUAAUAUUUUCUUGAUACAAGAAGAAAACCAAUGAUAAUCCAAACUACUGAAUCAACAAAAUAUCCUUUUCUACUUAAAGGCAAUGCAUGAAACCACAGAGCUGAUUAAUCACCAUCCAUAAUAUAUUAAAUUUUAUCAGUGACAAAGAUGGUACAAGCAGUUUGGUUACCUUAUCUGUAGGCUUGUUUGCUUCUUGGUCGUAUUUUUUUGAUGGCCCUAGCAUGGUAUGAGGACUAUCUUCUAACUGCAAAACCAUUACAAUGUAAAGAUCUAAUGUCGCCUAUUUCAGCAUUUAACCAAAAAAGAGAAAAGAGAAAUAUUUCAAAUAGCCUACCCUAUUGUCGAGUUUUAUCUCUGCCUCUACGAUUGAUGAUGCCCCUGUGUUUUGACUGCUGUCAGCUUUAAAGGAAUCUCCCCACAUGCCUAUCUGGUGGUUUGGUUCAAAUAUACCCAUCUUUCUGGGGGAUGCAAAUUGAGUCGAUGCAGAGCUCAUGUUAUUUGAACUGCACAGGAAAAAGAAUGACAUUACUUGAUCAAAAAGGUGAAUGGCAUCAGCUGCAUAAAAAUAGAAAAAUAAUGGCCAAAGCAGCAUAAACUAAACAUAUAACAUUUGAAAAUUUGCUGAUUCAGGCAAGGAAAUGAAAAAACACUGAACUUUUCAGUGUGAUUAUGAGAGAUCUAUUGUAUUUUGUAAUGAUCUCCAGACCAUUAGAAUAUCUAGAAGUUUAGGCCAAAUACAUUUAUAAUUGCUAUUAGAAGCCUUUUUGUUGACAUCAUACUUUACUCCGUCUUUCUGGCUUGUCAUCGAGCAGCAAACCACCAUAAGUGUAUUUCCUUCCAAGAUUUUAGCACCAAUAUCAUAAGAGACCUUUGCAAGUCCAGAUAUUAAGUUUAGUUGUACAAGAAAAUAAAGCUCCAGGAGACUAUAUUACCAUAUCAUAUAAAGAUCGGAUGAACCAUUAGAUUCAUUCUCAUAAUAAAUCAGUGAAAUGACCAAACUAGAGAUGCCAUUGAACCGACACUCGUCCAUGAGCAUUAGACCAGUCUGAAUACAGCCUUUGUAACACAGGUGCACAACAUAAUAAUCCCAGAUGCCAAGUGUUAUCAUCUGGUGCAGCACUGCCCUUAUCAGCUACUAGCACUAUAUUAUAUUGAGGUAAUCCUAGAAGGAUAUAACUAUACCUACACAGAGUAACACAUGCACCAAUAGACAAUCAAGUAGUCACUUCUGUCAGGACAUUCCAAGAUAGAAUACAGAGGUAAAGACCAAUCAUCAGGGAAAAGCAAAACAUUGUUGCAAAAAUGAAGAAAGUAUUAUUGGCAGAUCCACAUGUUGGCCAACCUAACAAUGGUAACCUAUUCGAUCUUGUUUAAUAUCUGCUCUAACUAACAAGACAUGUAGAAAAAAAAAUAAACUAUAACUCAGGAAAGAAUCAUCAUAAAGCAAAACAUGAAAAAAUUAUGAACUUUCCAAAGAUCAUCCUCUCAUUUAACAUUUGAACUCCAACAGCAAAAAGAAGUAAAACAGCAGCCUAUUGCACUUAACAAAUAGCAAUCCAUCUUCUACUUACUAUAUGAGUAGAUCAAAUUAACCACAAAGACCAUCCAACUGGUUUAGUAAAUUUGCUGUAUUUGUAAGAUUGUUUUCCUUAAAGAGACUUUUGUCCCAGAGUGUUAUACACUCAUUCACUUCCAAAGAAACUUCACUGCAAUUUUAUGCUCAAAUGAUGAGGCUACUCAUGUUAUCAAACAUAAAAAGGAGAAAGAAAUUAAUUGCCUGAGAUAGAUAUUUUCUUUAUCAGAGGUUGACUAGUUUGUCCAUCUCUUUCGAGUUAGACAAAAUUUUCACUACCUCCCGAAGCAAGGGGUGGUCGAUCAUUGUUCCAAAAUGUCCCUGCUCGGCAAAAAAUUACAGUAAGCAAGAUCGGUUUAUCUUCUGCCCUGCUUCUUCCCACUGAUGAGAGGAUAAUCUACCAAGUAGCCAGCAACAACAACAAUAACGACUCAUCAAUUUUCUUUCGUUCUAAAACGAAAGCGCGUAGAUUAAAGAAUUCAUCCCAUUUGCAUAAGACCAUCUUGUAGUAGCCAAAAAAAAGCUCAAUCUUGAGCCCGAGAUAAUACUUGACCUGCUUUCAGAAUAAAGACCUGCCACAGGUGAAAGCAGCCUGUCAAGAUUCGAAAUCCCAUCCGAGUCUCAUCACAAGAAGGACUCAAAUAAAGAUCCUUUGGAAGAUCCUACAACCCCUCCCUCAAAACAGUAUUCCAAUGUGCAGGAAGCUUAACAAAGUGGGAUUUCUCUUUCGGUUUCGAAGCCUUCUCCCCUGACACAAAGCCACUUAGAAACUUAAACCCUCGCUUCUUGUCUUCACUGGAUAGUCUGAGGAAGGGCCAACUGAUGGUAAAAGCAAACCGACCCCAACAAUUUCCGGAAGUAGAUAGGAGGUGCCAAGCCCAGAGUUGACAGCUUCGGUUGCCUCCCCAAUCCAAGAAACAACAAAGAGGAAGCAAAAGAAAAGCAAGUUCCUUUCGGAAUCAAGCUCCUACCAAACAUCCACCCAGAAACAUAGAAAAGAGGCUUCUUUCCAUCGAAAAGGACGAUCUUGAGAUCCGAGGGCAGCAAACAACACGCAUCAAAUCAAAUACGAAAAAGGGGGAAGGGGGCUUCAGAACCUCGAGAUCCUGCGAGAUGCUCCCGGCAGGCCUAGCGGCAUCGGGGUCGGAAUCGCCGGUUCCUCAGAGCCUCCAUCGCCGUCCCUUUCGCCUCUCUCACCUCCCCACUGCCCUCCCUCCUCGGUGGCUUGCUUGCGCGAGCAAGAGAGCGAAGUUAAAAAAACAGGAAGGAAGCGGACGGCGAAGCAAACACGCACCCAGCGGAGGUCGGUAUCCCGGAAAACGACCUCCGACUCUUUUUCUUCCUCGCCCGCCCAUUUAUUCUAUUCGUUCUAAUAAUGACACGAUAAUUAACCCCGCUCCCCGUCAACGUACGGGACGCCGUCAGUCGCCGUUCUGCGCUGACUGCAACGCCGUCAAGACUCCGCCACGCCAUGCCACGCCACGCCGGAGGGCGACCGCGCGCCACAGGCCGGACAUCGAGGCCUCCGUUAGUUAGCCUUCUCCGUCGGCGCAUGAUAGCCUUCCGUGCGCCUACUGACGUCACCACCCGUCACGUUUAUUAGGUAGGCGUGGAUCCACCCCGGUCCACUUACCCAUCCAUCCCCACUUGCCCUGCAUAUGCUCAGUAUUUCUACAUGCAUAAUAUAUAUAUAUAUAUACAUAUAUAUUUGGAUGAUGUCAUAAUAUUGUGUAACAAAAAAAAAAAAGAUACAUCAUGACCAUUUUAUUUAUUUAUUUAUUUAUUUAUUGGAAAAAAGAGAAAAUAUAUAAUAUUAGGAUCGUAGCAAAUGGGAAAAUAGAACAGUAUCUGUGAGAGAAAAAUGAAUGAAUACAACUGUUGCUAUCCUUUUGCAUCUUUCUGAUCUUUCAAAAACGAUUAUAAUAAUUGUAAAUGGCUAUUGAAAUAUGCGUGCCUACGCAAUAUGCAAAGAACUUGAAUGGCGGUGAGCGUAACGUUACCGGCGGUCAUUAUUAGUGGAGAAACAACAAUAAUAAAAUAAUAAUAUAGUAAUUGUGGGGGUAAUAAAAGGGGGAUUAGAUUAAAGGAUGCGAUGAUGUUAUGUGGGUGGUGGAACACGUCAGGUGGGACGUCACCGUCACCAACCCACCCCAACCGAGUCCAACGCGCUCCGUGGGCGGGUAACCGCACCGAGGGGGUCGCCCGUGUCGCCUCUUUCCGGUGCUGGGCCCACUGGAUUUGGGCCCCACCAGCGACCUACUCUGGCCUCGCGCCCCCGAGUCAGCUCACGAAUGACCUACAAUGACGGCGCACACAUCGAAUGAUUCGAGCGACGACUUAAGUCACGAAUAAGUCCCUUUCUUUCUUUCUUGCUUUCUUUCCCCUCUUUUAUUCUUUCCCUUGUUUACUAAGUUAUUUCCUUUCUCUUGCGAUUUCUUUGGCAAAACAUAGCCUGUUUAAAUGAUUGGAAAGGUUAAAAUGUUUGAGCAUAUUUAGUCUGCAAUGAACAAGAAUUUUCUAGAUUUUUUUUACUAAUUUUUAUGAGAAUUAGAUUCUUGUUUACCUCAUGAAUGAUUCUUGUUUCUCUCAUUAAUUUCUCUCCCUUUUCUUGAGACUUCUUUGGCAAGACAUGACUCUCAUCAUUAAAAACCUUGUUUGAGCAAAUUGAGUUUAGAAUUCCUGGUCUCAUUUCAUCAUCACCAACUAUGAUCAUGAGCAAGUUUACUGUUGCAGUCAUGUGUCGGUAUGAGAAUCAAUGAAGAGAUAAAUUUAAAUCUUAACUUUUGUGUCAUAAAAGUGUUGCAUUAUGAAAGCAUAUCACCAAAGAAAAUUUCUCAGCAUCAUAAAUCUCCAUCAUGUAGUGAUGUGAUCGAUCCAUGCAUCCUUAGGUUCCUUCACCAGUGUUGGUGAUUUCCAUAUGUCUCCUCUAACCCAAUGAGUCGCUCUAACUUUUCCAAGUUCUAGAACACCAAGAACAAGUGUGGAAUGCGUGUGGUUUUGAUCUUUGACGAAGAGAUCAAUUAUACUUGAAUUGACUUUGAGAAAAGGAUAUUUGUCGAUCUAUUGGAUCUGUCUAUAUGUUCUUAGAAUUCUUCAUGAACUGAAAAAGAUUAAUUGUUAGAAUCAAUAGAAGUGUUUUUUAUGAUCAUGGAUGAAAGGUUCCAAGCUGAAGUCACCAUUAAGGUUAUUUAAUUUGGGACAUGACAAUUCAACUCAUACCAUCGUAUGGUUGUAAUUGAGGUCUUGGAUAUGGAUCAGUUUUUGUGAUUGCAAGUCAACUCCACUGCCCAUUUAUUUCUAUAUCUAAUUUGAAUGAGUGUGAUGGAGUGCAAGACAUGUUUUGGAUCAGAUUAAGUCAUGGAUUUUCUUGUUUUAUUUCGUAAUGGCUGGCUGUCGUGCUCUCAUCAUUUAUUGACUAUCUCAAGGUUUGCAAUAUCAUCUAAUAUACAUAGUAUUUAUUUCUCGAUACAUAGGUCAAAAUAGAUGAUAGAUCUGAUAUAAGAUUUACUCUAAAAUCAUCCGUUGUAUAGAAUCAGUACAACUCGAUACAAGGCGGCUAGUUUUAAUUUUUUUUUAAUCUUUUUUUAAGGAUCUUAUCGAAACUCGAUAAAUUCAAAUUGUGAACUUGGCACGAUGUAUUCUCUCUUAUCCAAAUCUAAAGAUCAACUCUCUCUUGGAUGUGCCUUUCUUGUUUCUUGUAUACACUUAAUGUUGUCUAGGAUUAACAAAGCUUUGAAAAUUAGAGUUUACUCAAUUUUCUUCGGCUUUUACUGUUCUUGCGACGGGAAGCAUAGUGUUUAGAUAUAGAAUUAGACCCAAGUAAAUCUUAGCUAGAAACCUAAUGCAUUGUUUUUCUUCUAUCAGCAAGAAAAAGAAAACCGAUACAUCCGAAACAUGAAAGCUAGGAUUCAUGACAAAAUGCAAAGACAGAGAGCAGAAGAAAGGCAUGCACAGAUAAAGAAGAUUACCAGUUUGGCUUGUAAUCUUGGUUCAAUGUCCGAUCAUAAAUGAGGUGGAGGAGAAGAGCACUUCCAUGAAGUUGAGAGGAGAGGAGAUAAAUGGAGAUACCCACAUGCACUGAACCUUAUAAUAAGAAGCUAACCUCUUUGAGAAUUGCCAGCUGACCAGCCACUGUUCUUUAAAUUAACAAGCAUAAACUGAGAAGAGUUUGGGGGCAUUAAGGAAAGGAGAGACUUUAAUGAAGGUAUAAAGGCAGAGGCAAAGUUGGGUGCUUUGGAUCCAUAUGAUUUGUCAAGCAGCAGUCUGUGGCUCAGAUUCAGAUACAGUAAAAAUGCAUUUAUUAUGAUUCAUUAGGAUCAAUUUACAAAGCAGCUGUAUAAGUUAUAUGGCAUAAAUAGCUUAAAGUGAUGCAUCUGAUAAGGCUUCACUGUAGAUUCAUGGACCUGUUCAGAAACUUUCCAUGCAAGUGCCAUCCAUGAUCCUGUAAAAGCUACAAGGAAAGCUCCCUCUUUCCCUUCAGAACCCAAUUGUCUUCAUCAUCUUUGCCUUCUCUUGAGUGCCAUGUCAUUUGCUCUAUCUUCUCCAACUCUCUAUCAAAUUGCUUAUCAAAGAAGUAUGUUUGCUUUAUUAACAAGGUUGGUCAGCCUUUAAAAAGACUCUCAUGCAAUUAUUUUAUGCACUGUUAGUGGACUUGUUUCAACAAAAAAAAAAAAAGGCAUACUUCUCUCCCACCCACUGUUUGAUGAAACCCAACAAUCAUGGUGGUCACUUUGAUUGGAUGAUUCCCUGAUAGUGUUCUCUCCUUGGCUACAGACAAUAAUUGAGGCACCUUUUCCUAUCAUGUGUGUCCUUUUACAUGUAGAUAGGAGUGGAUUUACUUGAUGGAGGGAAGGAGCAUAGGUGGAUGGGACCAAAUAGACAUGCAAAAGAACUCCUGAAAGCAGGCAAGCCAGGGAUAAGGGUGAGUAAUGGAGAAUGAGUAAGAUUCUUACAGAAGUGGUGUUUUGACCACUGCAUUCAUGUUCUUUGUGAUGAUUCCUAGUAGAUCUACAGGGAUAAGAGAUGCCAAUAGCUCAAAAACAUAAAUCUGAGGCUUCAACUAAGUUCUAAGGUAUCAGAUCCAUGAGACAUUACGCAGUGUAAAGUCCUAUUUAUUUUGAUUCAGAUAAAAACACAAGACCAUCAAGUUAUUUUCCGAUUUGUGGCUCGAUGAUCUGAGAGAUCCAACAAGUAAGCUUAACAAAAUCUUAGUUACUCUGUCUUUAGAUGAACCAAAAGGCCAUCAGUUUGUUCUUAACUUCAUCAGAUUUUAGAUUAAUUAUGACUAAGGCUAAAUAUAUUUACUUUAUAUUUAGAUCAACCACAAAGGCCAUCAAUUUAUUUGUUCAUCAAAAUAUGGCUCAAUCGAUCUUAGUUAAAUCUCCGAACUUCAUCGGGUUUAAUUCUUUGGUAAAAUGAACAUCUUUAUCAACUAGUAAUGGACUAAUCUAUAUAGUUCUUAUUACACCUGCAAGCAAAAUCCUCCUUCAUCAACUCUGUAAACAUGGCAGAACAUGGAUGCUGAAAUUUAUAUGGUGAUCAAUGUAAACCCCAUUCCAUCAUUAGAACAUAAGAAGAGCUCUUCAAAAGCCUAAGUUGAAACCCCCAAUAUCUGAUGAUCUCAAGAUUUUUCUACUGACAUAAUCAUGCCAAGCAGUUCAAGGAAGUGCUAUUGCUCCUUGUUGAAGUCAAACAUUCUUAUAACCAUCCAAAAGCAUGAUGCAGGUUGUAUGAUAACCAAUAACUGGAAUCUGAAUAUGAAAGUGAGAGGAUAUGCUAUGAUAGCAAAUUCCUGAUACUUUUAAUGUUGCUAUUCUUAUCUUCUCAUCUUUUGCCUUGAGGAAAAGUUGCUUUCCUACUAAAUAAAUUCCUCUGCAGCAUUCAGGUUCAUGGCAUGCUCCUCCAGUGCACAACAAUCAUUGGGUGAUGGGUUGGUAUCAUCUCUCCAUUUCUGGACAAUCAGGGGUACAUUGGCUAAUGGAUUCUGUUGAGCUUUCCUCCUGCUGUCCAUCAUCUCCAUUACUGUCAGAACUUUCUGGGUGCAAUAUGAGGCAAACAUUCUCCAUACAAUGUCUUCCCUUCUAGUUUAUUAUGGUUGUAGAGUAGGGACAAUGAGAGCAGCAAUGUCUUGCACUGUCUCUGUGCCUUUUGUAGACCAUGGAAGCCACCAACCACUGUUGGAAGGAUGUAGUGGUAAAGUGCACUGCAAAGUGGCAAGACAUUCUUAAACAGUGCUCACCACAUUAGAGAAGACUUGAUAUUGUGAUGCAAAGAAUUAAAGAUACCUAAAAUCUAUUUUAGUGGUAUCAAUUGCAGUCCUUUAAAAGUACAGCAAAACCUUUCAGACAUUGAGCUAAAGCACUGUGCUGUUAAGCCAUCUCCAUGGACAACUCAAGUCAUUAGUGUACUAAGUGAAUAUUUCAGAUGAAUGAAAUGUACAAUGAUUUAGCUAACAUAAGAGUUCCAGUACAACUUGGUAGAUGAUAAAAUGGAUAUCUUCUCUAUGGCAUAUCAACCAAAAUCUAAAGGUUUCUUGGAAUUCCUUGGCCUCAAUCACAUCUUAUCCUGGUUGAGUUAGCAAUGCAGCUGGGAAAGUACUGACCUUUUCUGCUAGAACAGGAAUACAGGUCACAAGGAAGAUUCAAAGGUUGCAUCAUUAUUUAGACUGAUCUUUUUCUGGUCUGACUCCUCACUCUCAAGUGCUCCCCAAGUCCACAACCCUCAAGCAUGAAGUCUCCAACUUGCAAUUUGGACAGAAUCAUGGGAAACUUACAUGUCAGUCAUCAUCAUCAUCAUCUUCUUCUUGACAAAGUGCAGAAAUUUCUACAACUUGAUAUAAUUGGAUGCAAAAAAUAAAAUCUUUAGAUGGCUAUUGCCCUCUCCAAAAAGCUCUGUUAAACAUCUCAGACAUUAUGUGAGACUAAAUAUGUUGCCCAUUGGCCCAAAACCUACUAGCUUAAACUUUUAAUUUAGAGUCAUGUCCAACUAUCAUAUUCAUGGUCAGACACAUUGUGUUAACCAAUAACCUAUACAUUAUGAUACAUUUAUUAAAGAUGUAGCAGUCCAUCCUUUGCUCUAUUGAUUAUAUGCAUAACAAAGAGCCGGUGACUCGAGCGACUUGCAAUUUCUUUAAAUAUUUACCUAAUUCCAGUCUAGAGGAAUUACUUGAUGUUUAGAAAGAUAUAGAGGAGCCUCUUAAGUUUCAAGAAAAAUAGAAGAGAUAAAAUCGCUUGUGUAUCAUAUCGUUGCGAUAACUAGUGUAUACAUGAUCAUACCAUCUAUAUGAAAUACUGAUCAUUCAUCAACAAUUUCAAGUACAAGACCUGAUCACUUAGAUAAUUCUUAUUAAUAAAUGAAUUAUCAGAGUUCAAAUCUGAUGAUAGGCCUGUUUUGCAAUGAGUAAAUGGAGAAAAUUCAACUUGUCCUGGAAGCUGGAAUCCAUGGUUCAAAGUUCCUUGAAUGCUGAUGGACAUAUCUACCAUUAUGUUUUGUCUUCUGAGAUUGUUUCGAUAUGUACAAAGUAGAUGCAUGUCUAUAGGGACUCCAAUCAAGUAGCUAAAUGAAUAGCUUCAGAUUUUAAAUGUAGUCAGAGCUUCAUCAUCCACAUUUUUAUGCAUCUGAAGCUAAAGAAGAGCCAAGAUCUUCACCAGAGAAAACCUGAGGGAGCAUAUGCAGAGACAGUCAACAUGUAACUGUGGCAAUGAAGCCAGGAUAUAUCCCAAAAGGCUGCCAUGUCUACUUCUUGACGAUGAUAACAAUUGCAACUCUUAAUAUUCUAAGUCUCAUAUUCUGUGAUCUUUCAAGUUUUUUUCUGGCUUUUGCUAAUCAACUUUACCACUUGUCUACAUGAUCAUUUAUCAAGACAAUUAGUGAUUUGCAGUUAUGACCAGUAAGAGUGCCUACUGGUUGAUGCCAAUGAUCUUUCUUGAUUAUGAGGUGAAGAUUGAGGAAGUACAUGAUCUUUCAACAUCAAAGUUCAGUGAGUGAAUUCACUUGCAAGCUCUGUGGUAAUGAGAUUAUUUUUUUGCUGAUAUUAGUAAAAUAGAGAAUAUAUUUGAAGGUUUUUUUUUAUUCCUUGAUUUAAAGAGACUCUAAGCUGAUAUAUGAAAAUAUUUUAUUAAACUAAAUAAAAAAUACUUUUAUAUUUUUUUGUAACUGUAGUUCACUAACGAUGUUGUUAGGGGAUAUGAUGGAUGUUGUAGAUGAGGAAAGUGAUGACUGUCUCUUAGUAGUACUAACGUCCAUCGUCAUUAAUUGAGAUGUUAAAAUUAUUUUAUAUUUUUAUAUAUAAAAUCAUAAUGUUAAAAUAGAUGUAAAUAUUUUAUUUUUUUAAUUAUAAAAAUAUUAAUAUAAUUUUUUAAAAUAUAAAUAUUAAAAUAUUAAAAAAAUUAAUUAUAAAAAGAAUAGUCUAUAAUUAAACCUCCCACAGGAUUUAAUGCGGAGGUGUUGAAGGCUAAUUAAGAGGCCAAAACCAGGGUUUACCCGAUAACUAAGGGAUUUAAUGUAAUGACCGAUUAAGUCCUCCGCGCUACUAUUUCUGCAUGGGCGGCUCCCCGCGUCUCCCACCGCCGCCUCUUGCUCCUCCUCCCCGGCUCCGGCGGUCGGUAGUGUCGCUGCCCUGCGGUUCUCUUGGCCAUGAGUCGUGCCUCUUCCAGCUCGUUUUAGUUCGGACUCGUCCUUCUCCUACCCCGAUCUGUCUCCUGGGUACUCUCCUCUGAAGUAAAAAUCGGAUUUUUCGCGGGGUUUUGCCCUCUUUUCCCGCUGCUCGAUCUCUUAAACAAAACGUUAUGGGGUUUUCACUGGCUUUCAUGGUUUCGAGGGGUUUUGGCUGCGAUUCCUCGUAAAAUGUUAGUCCAUUUCGGCUUUUUAGGAAAGAUAUAGUCUUUCUGCCAAAAAAUGUCAAAAGAUCUUUCUGUUCUAUCCAAAAACUCUACCCUAAUGCGAUUGCUUUCUGGACAUGGAAAAGAGAUAUUUUCGAUUCAUUUAUUGAUUUUGCUGUAAUAAAUUCUGAAGUUUAUGGGAAGAAAGCGUCAAAAGAUCCCUUUUAAUGGAUUAAAGUUUAUGCUCCAAGUGAUUCAUUAAGUGGGUUAACAUUUGUUUUGUACAUUUAUCACUGAUUUAAACAGACUUAAUGCUAAUAUGCAAUCCUCGGUGUAAGAAGUAAGAUGGUCGAAAUAUACGUCGAGGCCAAUAAUAAUUAGAUGCAAAUGAUCCAACCACAUCAUUAGAUUGGAUGAGUUGCUGCAGUGUUUGACAAGGAUUUAGCUGCAAUCCGAUUAAUAAUUCUUUUAUCAGCUAUUUACAUAGUUAUGGUUUAUUUUACUUAAGUUAGCCUGUGUGUCUAAUGUGGAAGCCAUCUCUCACAUACAUAGAAUGGAGGACAUAUGCACAAGUAGAAGGGUAAACUAGGAUAUCUCCGUUUAGUUUCUUUUGUUUCUCAUGUUGAAUGUGCAUUGAUCAGGAUACAAGUUUCGACAUGGCCGAAAUGCUGGUGAUCAGAGAGAAAAAUGAAGUGAAGAAUGGAAAUAAUGAGCCUGUUGAUGCUGAUGAUGACGAAGAUGGUGAUGUUGGGGAGGGUGAAGAUGAGUUGUCUGAUGACAAUGGGGAGGAAUAUGAGAACCCCGAUACCGAUAAUGGCAAGAAAAAUCCAGGUGGAGACGAUCAGAAGGGAGAGGGAGAGGAGGAGGACGUUGAGGGUGAAGAUCAUGAGGAGGAGGACGACGAAGAUGGUGUAGAGGAGGAUCGGGAGGACAAGGAUAAAAGAGGAAGACGAGAAAAAGAAGAAGAGAGACAUGGUUUUAGUUGUAGUUUGUUUUGUUCUUUCAAGAUCAGAGCAGACUUCAAGCACAGCCAUUAGGAAAUAAAACAAGAAAACUCAUGCGUGCAGCUCUAUUUUAGUAUCAGAAUUAGAGACAAAUGCAGCUCAAUUAUUCCUCAUCUAACAUAGCUUGAAUACUUUUUCUUUCUGCUCAUCUUUGCUGCUCUAAUUUAGUAUCAGAAUUUUCAAAACAUAGACUCAAAUGCAGCUCAAUUAUUCCUCAUUCAACAUAGCUUGGAUAAGUUCUUUGUGGAAAAAUGUAGAAUAUAUCUUGAAAAUGAGACAGAAGCUGGUUUUGUGGGGUAGAAUUAAGUCAUGCAGGUGCUUCUACUGCUGCUUCUCUCUACAGAAUCAAAUCAUAGCUUGAAGUUUUCUGAUGAUGGGUUAAGUGAAUUGGAUUGAAGAGGAGAUAAACAAGGAAUACAGAUAUCACCAAUGUCAAAUCUAAUUUACAAAUGUUUGUGUGAAUUUUUAGUACAUAUUUCCACACUUUUUAAAAUUUUCCUUGCUCUACAUUUCAUUUUUUUCAGUCUUGAAACUAAUUCUAACUUAGGAACAAAAACAUAGCUAUAGAUUGACACAAUCAAGUAAAUAAAUUACAUACAUAUUAUUUACCUAGAUAUUCCUUUCACUAGUAUGCUGUUUCAAGUUGAUUCUCAAAAUAUUUUUUAUGUCAAAUUAUUUGGUGAAUUAUUGGGUCCGAGUUAACCAAAUCAGCUGAACUGAAAUAUGAGACAAUCACAGUCAGUUUAAAUUUUUUUUGCUUACAAGACUUUGGCAUCGACUGUGAUACCAUUAACAAUGAUUAAGAAUGGAUUUGAUUCACAGAAUCAAUAGUUCGAAUACUAAUUGGACACAAGAAAUAAAUUGAGAACUAACUUGAAAUAGCACCCAAAGUCAAAGAGCUACCUAAGAAGUUUAGCCUUUGUGUAUUUACAUUCACAUACAUACAUACAUACAUUCAUGCAUAGCAUAUCUGUGUCUGAAGUCAGCAAUAUUAAGAAGAAGACUAGACAUUUAGGCUGUCCAUGAUAGAGGUGUAAAGCACAGAGUGUUGUGAAGUCUAUCCAUUAUAAAAUUGACCCUACUGUGCCUACCACCAACAUCUCCAUGUUAAUAGCCUUAUCUGAUUUCGGCAUCACAAAUUAGAUAGAUUUACUUUACAUAAUGGCAACAAAAUCUUCCAGUCCAAAUCCAUUUUCAAAAAAUGACAAUCAAGCAGAUUCUCUUCUGAAGAAACUGAGUCUAGUAUAAAUAGAGAUCCUACCCUUCACAACUUUCCUUUCAUGAAGAAACUUUGAAUCAGAAAGCUGAAAUUCUGUAAGAUCUCCACCCAACAACUGUCUCUAUUGGAAGUCUCACCUCCCUCUCCUCCCACUGGCACAAGAUCAGCACUUGAAAAUAACGGCAGUUAAGAGCUUAAAGAUGAUGGUAGAUCUUCAAUUCUUCUCCAACAUCAUCAUGUCUUCUCGGUCCAACAGUAAACAAUGGCAGAUAAGUUUCUACUUCGACUUGCCCUGUUUCCUCUUCUAUUGGUUGAGUUUUAUCUCAUGGUUUGAUCAGUUUCAGAUGACCGGCUGGGAAUCAGUGCAAGAUGGCAGCAGCCACUACGAUUACAUUGAUAGAUGCUACACAAAAGUAGACUGCAUGGUCCCCUGCGAAGCAUCUGGCCACUCACCAGGCACGGUGCUGCGUGUCCCUGAUUCCACGUCCAUGGCCUAGUUUGCUGCUGCCUCCCUGCAUGAUUUUAGGGAGAAUUCAAGCAGUGUUAUCUUCUAACUCAAACUUAUAUCUACAUUGCACACAGUUUGAGUUGAUGUCUCAUGUAUUAAAAGCAGGAGCAACAAGGUCUCAACUGUAACUUCAAUCUAUCAAUUAUAAGAAGGUUUUUGGUAUAAGAAAGGAAUUCAAGUCAAUGGAAAACUACUGAAAUGUGUCUGAAAAUGGAUACCAAUUUCAACUGUAACUUCAAUCCAUUGAUUUGGCUUAAGAAAUUGAAUCGAGUCAAUGGAAAACUACUAAAAUGUGUCUGAAAAUGGAGACCAAUUUCAAUUAUAACUUCAAUCCAUUGAGUUGUUUUAAGAAGGUUUUUGGCACUGGAAAUGGAAUCGAGUUAAUCGGAAACUACUGAGAUGUGUCUGAAAUCAGGAAUAAAUAUUCACAUCUGACUCUAGUUCAUGAUCAAUGACGUGAAGCCUUAAUGAAAAAUGCAUGCUCAUGAUGUAUGUGCAGGUACGGUCACAUAGCGUGUUCAGGCUGUAGUCUUGCAUUAGCAGAAGGGAUGAAGAGACAUGCAUUAGCAACAUGCUAAGCUCAUUAUUCCUCGAACUAAAUGGAGAAUGAUGUAAAGAACAAAACCAAAGAAAAUCUAGGAUGUUCCUUUGACUUCUUCCUUUACAGCCGAGAAAAUUUCUUCAACAGAACAACUCGAUAUAUGGAAUUAUCCUGGGGUACAUGAAUUUCUCUAUAUAAGGAGCAAUUGUGGCAGGGAAUAUGCUGCCUGAUUAUAGAUAAGUGAUGGUAUACAUACUUUAUUUGCGUUAAAGAAAAAUAAAGGUAAUUUUUUGCUCAUUACCUAUAUAUACCUGAAGAAGUUCAUUUUGCUUCAGACCUAUGCCAGCAAGUUACAGAUUUCCUAGACACAAGAAAAAGAAAAGGGUUACGGCAACAAGGACUUUCAUAUAUAGAUUUGGUUUUUAUGUAAAUAAAGGGAUAGGUGCUGAAUUCUGGGAAUAUAAAAUUUCUAACCUGUAAAAAGUAAAUUUAUGGUUGUGCUAAGAUAAAAGGUCGUCACAUUUGAGGUUGGACUAUCCUCUUUCCCAAUAUUUCCUUCUCCAGAUAACAUUGUUCUUUUGGGUCUCAGCCUUAGAAUCGGAUCUCAUGUAUCCUAAUUCUUCCCUGUUGAUAGCAUAUAUCAAAAUUUACAGCAUCCAGACUUGUCUUUUGCUAGGCCUGGAUCUCCUGAAUAAGAUCGUUCAUCUGUAUGGUUCCAGAGUUUAUCAUUGAAUAAGCAAAACAAUUAUCGAUAUGCUAGAUGGAUUCUACCAAAAAUCUUUGCAUGAGCAGAAGCCAUAUCUGAAGUGAUGAAAGCGAGUAGCAUCUCGCACAAUGAUUUCCCGUCCUACGAUUUUGGAUAUAAACUUUAUUGCAGAGUGACAGUCCUUGCAGACUCUUAGGUUCUUCAUAAUCCUCAAAGUUGUGUUCUCAGGAGUACUGAUCAACCCAAAAGCAAUAGCAAGCUUUUCGCUGUGAUGACUAAGUAAUUGCUCCUUCAACUCCUCAUCAAUGUCGUGCAAGACAGAUUGGGUAUCAGGAACAAAACCUGCUUUCUUAAUCUCCUUCCAGAGCUUUGCAGCCAUCUGAUAUAUUGCAUCCCUCUGUGGGUGCAAUCCAUCAUCAACUCCGAAGACAUGAACCUUGUUCUUUAUGUGUGUCCAGCUAAACCCUUGCUCUUUCUUCACUCUUUUAUCCUUCAUUAGCUUCCAAAUCUUAGCAGCAUCAUCCCAUUUCCCACAUGCAGAAUAUACAUUAGCAAGUGCAGAAUAAGCACCACUGUUAACAGGAUCGAUAGCCAGCAAUCUUUCUGCCGCAACCUUUGCCAAGUCAGCAUCUUUCUGAACUUUGCAAGCAGCCAGAAGGGACCCCCAUGCUAUGGCAUCUGGUUCUACUGGCAUCGUUUUGAUGAACUCUUGGGCAUCCUGAGUUAAACCAGCACGCGCAAACAGAUCAAUCAUGCAUGAAUAAUGGCUUUGUGCGGGUUGGAUCAUAUACUUAGUCUGCAUCUGUUGAAAAUAAUGCCUCCCUUUCUCAACUAGUCCUGCAUGUGUACAUGCUGAAAUCACACCAACAUAUGUUAUAUGGUCGGGCCUCACGCCUGUGCUAAUCAUAUUUUCAAACAAGACUAUAGCUUCUUCUCCUAGUCCAUGUUGAGCCAAAGCUAUGAUCAUUGAGGUCCAUGAGACAGUUUCUUUACUCUGACAUAUCUGAUCAAACACUGUCUUUGCUCCUGCAAUGCUUCCAGAUCUAGCAUACAUGGUAAUAAGGGCAUUGCUCACAGAAACUGACAGUCCUGUUGAUCUGAUAGCUCUGCAGUGAAUCUGCUUGCCAUGAUCCAAGGAUGCCAAGCUCGAACAAACACUCAGUAUUGCAGCCAGCGUGUAAUGGUUUGGCUUAGGACCAUUGUCAACCAUCAACCUAAAGAGAUCCAUGGCUUCACUAUUGAAACCAUUUUGAACAUACCCAACAAUCAUAGCUGUCCAAGCAACAACAUCCCGAUAAUUCAUCAAGUCAAAGAUUUCUCUAGCUGGUUGUAAGUCUCCGAGCUUAACAUAACCCUCGAGGAGUGCAGUAAAGGAUACGACACUAAGAUCAGAAGCCAUUGUUCGUUCAAGAACCCUUCGAGCAAUUGCUACCCCACCAGACUUGGAGUACAUUGAGAUCAAAGCAUUCCCAACCUGCCCAUGACAUGGCAUUUCAGUUCUGACUAUACGGGAAUGGAUCUGCUUUCCCACUCUCAACAGUCCUAGGAAAGCACAAGCAGAAAGAGCACUGGUUAACGUGAAAUUAUCAGGGACCACAGACUGUUCUUUUAGCAUACGCGAGAAGAACUCCAAUGCCUCCUGAUUCAGGUUAUUCUGAUUGUAUCCUGCAAUGAUCGCAUUCCAAGUGACAAUGUUACGAUCAGUCAUCUCGUCGAAUUGGUCCUGAGCAAGAUCCAUUCUUCCAGACUGAGAAUACAUCGAAAUCAUAGAAUUCCAACUCGAUACACUCCUCAAUCUCAUCAUAUCAAAAACAGCCUUUGCAGUCUCUACGUCCCCCGACUUUCCAUACAUGUUGAUCAGGGAAUUAGCUACGACAACAACACCACUCAGCCCAAGCUUAGCCACAAAAGAAUGCACCUUUCUACCCACGUCCAACGCCUCGAGGGCUGCACAGGAUGAGAGCACAUUAGUAAAUGUGAACUGUGACGGUGGCACUCCAAACCGAACCAUCUCCAGGAACACAACAACCGCCCGUUCAAAUUCUCCCAUCAGAUUCAAUCCCACAAUCAUCGUGGUCCAAGAAACAGAGUCCCUCUGGGGCAUUUCAACAAACACCUUAUUCGCCCUUCCAAUCAUACCACCUUUUGCAUACAUGGCCAGCAAGGUAUUCCACGAGAACGCAUUCUUGAGAUGCAUCCCGUCGAAAACAUUGUGGGCAUCGGUAAAAAAUCCAAACUUAGCGUAGAGAUUGAUGAUAUUGUUCACGAGGUAGACGCCGAGGUGGAGGCCGGCCUUGACGACAUGUGCGUGGAUGGAUCGGCCGGCGGAGACGUUCUCGGUCCGCACGCACGUCUGAAGGAGAAAAGCAUAAAAGUCUGCAGGAGGAGAUGGCCGGGAAUGGAUCGACCGAAGCCGAGUGAGAGACAUAGAAGAAGAAGAACCACAUCAAGGCAGAGUGCUUCAGUUUAUAUNNNNNNNNNNNNNNNNNNNNUAUAUAUAUAUAUAUAUAUAUAUAUAUAUAUAUAUAUAUAUAUAUAUAUAUAUAUAUAUAUAUAUAUAUAUUUAUAUUUAUAUUUAUAUUUAUAUAAAAUAAAUUUUAAGUUCAAUCAUAUUAAAUUUCUAAAAAAUGAUUUGUAUAUUAAGAUAAUUAUGAAAUUUAAGAUCGAUUUUUCCAAAAAAAACAAUGAAGAAUCCCUUAAUGGAUCUUCUUAUUAGGAACAAAAAAAAGACAUUAAUAAAAUAGAGAAUUCAAGAGGAUAAUUAAUUAGGUAUAGCUUUAUAUUUUGAAAUCAUAAAUCAAAUUGUACAACCUCAAAACCAACCAAUCUAAACAAUUUACUUAAUUUUUUUAUUUCCAUAUUUAUUAAAACAGAGUUGGCAAUUGAUUGGUUAAUCAAGAGACGAUUUUGGUACUCAUUGAACUUAAUAAUAUAUUUUUAUUGAACAAAAAAAUAUUUUAAAAUCAUAUGUUAGCUCAAACUCCAAUUGAACAGAUAAUUAAGAUUAAAAUCCAUCUUUGACUUCAAAUUUAAUUUGAUUUAUUCUCUAACCUUUACAUUUACAGAAAAGAAAUGAAAAGAUAAUACCUCUUUAUUUCACAUGCAGCCAGGAAAACCUUUCUUGGCGCAGUAGCCAGGAAGAUUCUUCCACAUGCAGAUUUGAAGAACAUGUACACAGUUUCCUUGUCAAACUUCCUUUUGACUAGUGUUGACUAUUCCAAUACAGCUUCCUUGUCAACCAAGCCACCAUCCAUCCUUCAUCUCCUAUAAAUCCUCAUUCAUUCAUUCAUUCAUGACUCCAGUACUACAAAACUAUUCCACAAAGAGAGAGAGAGAGAGAGAGAGAGAGAGAGGAAUCCAUUUGGAAUCUCUCAUUGUUUUGGUCCUGGUCAUGGCUUUUGUAGGGUAUGAUGUUGCUGAAAUAUAUGUAGAGAGGAAACUCUUCAAGGAGAAGAUGGAAAGAAGGGAGAAAGCGUUGGAGGGAGAAGACCUCAAUGGCAGAAGAGACCAACAGAAAGGAGGUAGGGAAAAGAAGAGAGGAGGAAACUUCAAAUGGAGGAUCUUUAGCCUAGUCAAGAAAAUACACCCCAAGCUCAGUGAAGAAGGAUAAUGCUUCUUCUAGUUAAUGUACAACUCUUCUGGAUUCACCAUUACUGUGCUCAUGAAGAAGAAAUCUUUGCUCUCUUGUUUGUAGAGAUUAAACUUGUGUUGCCCAUCUGGAAUUUGUAGGGAAAAUAUUUGAUUUCUCUUGUUUGUCACCUCUUUUCAUUUGUUCUUUUGUUGUCAUUGAAUUUUGUAAAACAAAAACUAAUUUUUAGUAAACUCUUUUUUGAAACUAAUGACUAAUCGAAUCGGAGAGAUUUGAAAGCCAACCCUCUGUCAUUUUGACUUACUAACUAAAGGGUUUGAGUGUUAAAAACACUAAAAUACCUUAAAUUUUGAAGAGUGUUAAAGAACUUUUUUUUUAUAUUAUAAAGAUGAAAGACAAGAAAACUAUGUUGAUGUAAUUAUUCUCUUUCAUCUCUUCUCACCAUCUUCCUAUUUCCCUCUCUCAUCUGUCUCCCUCUCUGAUCACCAUCCUUUCUUUUCAUAUUCUAUCAAUCUCAAAAUCUAGAAAAAGCAGGGAUUCAGUCACUUGUUCUUGUGGGCUGCCCAGUUCUACAAAAUUUGACACUAAAGUAGUGCAAAUUCCUCAGCAUGCUUAAAUAUUUGAAGAGAUUAAAC